RNAcentral lists this long non-coding RNA (46614 nucleotides) under Jatropha curcas. Its description in RNAcentral is "long non-coding RNA (JCUR_LNC001201)". Lineage: Eukaryota; Viridiplantae; Streptophyta; Magnoliopsida; Malpighiales; Euphorbiaceae. The record is from RNAcentral.
AUUGUCAUGAUUGCCUCUUCCAAACCAACCUUAACCGUGGUUUUUUGCCUCCUAUUGUUCCUCGUCAAAUGCAUCAACACUUAAUUUCAUUAUCAUGGCCGUGAAGUACAAUUAUCAAUAUAAAUGUCGUAUUUGCAUUAAACCGGGCAGCUCGGUUGGCUACAAAUGUAUGAUUGCAAUUAUAAUGUUAAUUGAUAUUGUGGAAUCUGUAUGGUUUCAUUGGUUUCUCCAUUGACGCUAAAUCAUGGUCUCGUGAAGUUGCGUUGGAGAAGCAUAAUUGCCAUACAUGCCAUAGAAAAAUAGAACCAAAUUACCAACCGUUUUAUUGGAGUAAGGUGUGUCAUUUAGCUAUUCACAUGGAGUGCAUGAGACCAGACCUCAGGAAAGUUGGUGUCUUUUUCUCUAUCUCUUUUGAGAAUAACAAUUCUAUUAGUUUUAAAACAUCGAUUUUUGUCAGAUGUUGUUCUGCUUGACUAAUCAAUUUUAUGCUGUUGUAGCAAGUACCCAUUGCUAUAGGGACUUGGGGUGGUCAGGGAGGAAGUUGGUGGGACGACGGAGUGUUCUGCACGGUCACAAAGUUGGUGAUAACUCAUGGAAAUAUUAUUGAAGCUAUCCACAUUGAGUAUGAAAGAGAAGGAGCCUUAAUUUGGUCAGAGAAACGUGGUUGAGUUUUACAAACCCAUGAAACCAAGGUUAGUCACUUUUUAGUAUUUUUUUUCUUGGAAUCAGCUAAAGAGCUUGAUUUAUUUACUUUCUUGCUUGCUGCCAUUUUUUUUGGCAGGCGGAGCUUGAUUACCCAGAUGAGUACCUUACUUCAAUCCAUGGACACUAUGGUAGCUAUGCUGUAAUGGGAGCAGACAAUUGUGUUCGUUCACUUAGUUUCGAAAGCAACAGAAGAACAUAUGGACCAUUUGGUCAGGAGGAAGGAACGUACUUUUCUGUUCCCAUGACUGAAGGCAUGAUCGUUGGGUUCUAUGGCAGGAGUAGCCAUAUUAUUGAUGCAAUUGGUAUUUAUUUAAAGCCUGUCCAUUAACAUAGGAGCUCCAAAGGGCUUGUCCAAGCCUGAGUUUUGGCAAUGCCGGGGAAAUAUUGGCUACUUUGUGAUACGAGGAACGAUAGGCAACAGUUAAAGGAGGCAGGAUAAUUUUUCAUGUCAAAGAUAGAAUGUUGGAUGAUAAAAAUAGUAAUAUUUAAGUUCGUAUUAUUUUUCUCAUUAUUUAAUUUAUAAUUUUUUUAUCAUGAAUGAUGUUCAUCGCGAUUCAAACUAAUAGCUUUAAUUUAUAAAUGGAUAAUGAAAUUAAAUAUAACAAGUCAACUUUAAGGAAAUGAUAAAUAAACUAUAGAAAAACUACUUAAUUGCCUCAAAUCAUGCAAUAUAUAAUAAAUGGAUGGGUCUUAUACUUCAAUUAUUAAGCCUCAUGGAAAUAAUAUUGAAAUUGAAAAUUCAAGAAAGUAGCGGAAAAUACAAACUUUUAUGCAUAUAACUCCUAAAAUCUUGAUAAAGAAUUAGCUAUGGCCAACAACUUGUUAGUGGUUUCAUCCAAUGACUUUAGGCUCUUCAAAAAUAUAUUAAAAAUACACAAAUAUAUGACAUGGACUUUAUAGUGGGAAAGUAUUAUUUCCUGAUUUCCUCCAGCAAAUUUUCAUCAAGUCAAAUGUUUGCCGAGAGAAGAUUCCUAACUGCAAUAUAUGCCUAGACUUUGUCUUGCAUUUCCUCAUCUUCUCAUUCUUCCCUGUACCAGAUUUUGAAGAAGAUAUAAAAUAUAUAAUUAAUCAUGUAAUAAUGUAAUUAUUGUAAAUUUACGAGAUGUAUUUUCAUUCAUUUUAUUAAUUUUGUCCACAAGCAAGAUUAUAAACAAUAUCUCUACAAGUAAGAUUAUAAUCUAGAUUAUAAGCCCAAGUUUUAGUUUGGAACAAGAUUUUCGAAAUUUGGCAGUAUGAUUCUAGCAGGUAGGAAGUUAAAUUUUCCACUUGUGUGUUUCUUCAUUAAUCUUUUAUUUCCACUAUGGGUUUGUGAAUUUUCUUCCUACAAUUGUCUUUUUGACAGAUCUAGAUCUAGCUUAUGACUUACUGCUUGAGCUAAUUAAUCCUUGCGGGUUCUUUAUUAAUUUUUUUAAAUGCAAUAAUUUAUUUCUUUUGCUCAAUCUAAUUCAGAAUUAUAAUUUGUAUAAAUAUCAAGCUGAUUAACUUUUCUAACAAGCUAGCUAUGCUUAAUUUUCAGUUGUUAGCGGCUUGAUUUACAUAAAGGCAAGAAGAAACAUGGAAAUAUUUGCUUCAUCAAUCAGGAAAGCAUGGAAGGAGUGGGAGCUGCGCGUUCAGGUUCUAAUCAGCCUCAUUUUGCAUAUUACUUUUUUAUGGAAAUCGCGGGAAAUAUUCAAAGAAAACAUGGACCCAAGUUGUGUUAUGGUGUGCCUACUUGAUGGCCGAUUGGGUAGCAACAGUUGCCCUUGGAGUGCUCUUGAAUGACCUGGGAGAUGUGUAUGAGGAGAAAAACGGUAAUAAAUUCAAUUUAGACGCAAAUACAGAGCUUAAUGCAUUUUGGGCGCCAUUUCUUCUGCUGCACUUGGGCGGCCCUGAUACUAUCACUGCAUUUUCUUUAGAAGUUAAUGAAUUGUGGUUAAGGCACUUCCUUGGAUUUGGAGUACAAACAGGAGUGGCACUGUAUAUAUUCCUUCUGGCCUGGACAAGUUCUCUGUCAUUCUAACCAUGCCAAUGUUCUUGGCAGGAAUUAUAAAUUAUGGAGAGAGUACAUGGUCGCUUAGGUCAGCAAAGCAAUGAGGAACUAAGAGAUUCCAUGAUUACUGCUCCAGAUUACUCCACGUUAGUGGAGGAAUUCACUUUAAACCAAUGGGAAGGUUCUAUGUAGUAGCAGAUGAAGUAGUUGAGGGGCAAGUGACAGUGGAUGUUUCUCCAAUGGAAGACAAGUCCAUUGAAGGUGAAAUUGCAUUGCUUAAAGCUCAUUACUUGUUCAAAACUUUCAAGCGUCUUUCUUUGUUGAUCUCAUCCUCAGUUUUCAAGAUCGGGACAUUAGCCAAUCCCUGUGCAGUCAAAUAUCCUGCGAAGAAGCUUACGAAGUUAUCGAGAUUGAACUGGGAUUCGUGUAUGAUUUGCUCUAUAAUAAAGGAACAAUAAUUUUCACACGUAACGGCUGUUGGCUUCGGUUCGUCACUCUCGGCACCACCUGCAUUGUACUGGUCUUUUUACUUUAUCCAACAAGCAAAAUUGCUCUGAGAUUGAUGUAGCCAUAACCUUCCUGUUGCUGGUCAUAGCUGUUGUUCUUGAGCUAUUUGCAUUGCUUUUGCUAGUCUCCACAGAUUGGACUGAUCUUUAUCUGCCUAAGCAGAAAAGAGUUAUCCGCCAAGCCAUCUCUCAUGUACGCCUGCGUAGACGUAGAAGAUGGUCAAACUCUUUGGCAUUGACUGAGCUAUUGCUUCACAGGUAAGCCUGUAACAAAGAGCAAAAUCCACAAGUUCUUCGGCAUUGACAAAAUACUACAACACCAGCACAUGACUUGUGAGCCAGUUACACCUGAGUUGAAAGAUUCCAUAUUCACAUAUCUCAAGGAGAAAUUCGACAAACUCAUCGAGACUAAAUCAAUCAUAGAUGCAUCCACUUACCAGAAAGAGCUUAAAAAUCAAUAUACGUGUCGGGGGGCUCAUGCCCUUCGUAAUUUUCCUACAUCUCUUCGGAGUGUGGAUGUAGAGUUCGACCGAAGCAUUAUUAUAUGGCACAUAGCUAGAAUUCUCAACUACCACGCUGAUAGGCAGGAGAAAAAUGAAGAAAUAAGCAGGAAGUUAUCGCAGUAUAUGUUGUAUCUGUUGGUUAUGCGUUCGUCCAUGUUGCCACUGGCCAUGGGAAUCGGGAAGAUCAGAUAUCAAGACACUUGUGCUGAAGCCACCACAUUUUUUCAAGAGCCUGAAUCCGUAGCAUCAGGUAUUAAAAAGUACAAAGAUACUUCCUCCUGGGCAAUCAGUCUUUUCAAAUACACAGAUUUCAAUCUAUAUGAAAAGAAAGCCUGCAAGGUGUUACUUAAUAAUGACAAUAUUGGAGAUCCACCAGUUAAAGUAAAAGGAGAAAGAACCAUGUCUGUGUUAUUUGAUGCAUGCAGGCUAGCAUCGGAUCUGCAAAACAUACCGAAAAUGUGGGAGGUGGUGACUGAUGUGUGGAUGGAAAUGUUGGCUUAUGCUGCUAGCCACUGUAGAGGAACCAAUCAUGCUCAGCAGUUGGGACGGGGUGGAGAACUUCUUACUCAUGUUUGGCUCCUGAUGGCUCAUUUUGGUUUAACUGAACAGUUCCAGAUAUCACAUGCCGAUGCAAGAGUCGAGCUUAGUGUGAAAUAAUAAGCUAACAGAUAAUAAUUUUACAACAGAAUAAAGAGUUGCCUGAGUUAAUUUGUUCUUCUUUAACUUGUGGUUGUUUUGUAACAAUUGAUCUUUCUUUCAUUCAUUCUACCUUGAAGCAAAACUCAGCCUAGUAAUAAAAUCAAUGCAUGCCUUAGUCUAGCAGAAAAGGUAAAACUACUGGGAAUUAAGUUUGAAUCUCUGAAUUAAAAGAAAGUCUGAAUUAAUAACCAAUCUUCCCCGUUCUAUUGAUCUGAACUUCUUCCAAAGCAAUCACAUAGUCAACACCAUCUAAUGGAUCAGUAUCCAGAUCCAUCUCCAUACUCUCGACAACUUUAUCCCUAAAAGAACCAUUGAGGUCUGGCUGAAUAUCUACACUGCUUCAGUAGACUCCGUCAUACUGUUGGACAAGCAGAAAGGUUGUUUGGAUCUGGUGAGGUCGAGAGAGACAUGUGUUCCUUCUUUGGUGCCUUAGCUUAGUAACAAGGUGAGAUCGGUUGGGAGUUCCUUUCUUGAGCCAUAUUUAACUGAUGAUAGAUACGAGUACUGAGUAGGCCAGUCCAAAGAAGUGGAGGACAUGCUUUUCAUUCAAAUUUGGGCUCACGACUUUCUCGCUUGUUUCGUUUAGAAUUCUUAAUUUAAUUGAUUUCGUACAUAAAUGAGGCCGUAUAACUGAUCUAGGCAAAUAUUUUCUAGAGUUAGCAAAAUAAAAGAAGUAAAAAACUGAAAAUUGUCUCUGAUGUCAAAAAAAAAAAAAAAAAAAAAAAAAAAGAAAGACUUGGAUACCGUACUCUUAAGCUAACACGAGAUAUUGAUAAGCUUUGCAUAAAAAAUUAAAGCUUCUCACCUUAGUCCUCCAUACGUAAGAGGUGUGGCAGCGGCCCCAUUGGUGAUAAUUAAGUCAUCUACAAGAUCAGUGUUCGCUACUCGUGAAAAACAACGAUGAGAAUCUAUACUAUUCUAUUCGUGCUAGUGAAGCAUUUCCUUGAUCAUUUUACAAAUUUCUUUACACAUUAAUCUGAAGGAAGCACAUCAUAACACGGCAACCAUAAAUGACAAGAAAUGCAUAUUAAAUGCACAUUAUAAGAGAAUCAAAAUUUGUCCCCUCAGUCAAGUCAAGCUGGAUGAGGAAGAUCAACCUUUAACUACAUAUCAAUCUAUAUAUAAGUUCUUGGGCUUUGGCUAGGCUUCGAGUCAUUCACCACAACACAAAGCAACUAGCUAGCUAUACAUUUUAUAUGUGAUAAAUGUUAAAAAGACCGAGUCCUGUUAUACCCUUAACUGAAGAACAAGUAAGAGGCAUGCUUUGGCUCGCUGACCGCAAUAGAGAUGGCAUUCUCAGCUGGCAAGAGCUAUUAGAAGCCUUCAAGUCGUUAGGUGCUCGAUUUCCACCAGUACAAGCUUGGCUAGCGUUGAUUUAUGCAGAUAAGAACCGAGAUGGACGCAUCGACAAGAGGGAGGCUGAAGAGCUUGUCAAAUACGCUUAUAGUCUAGGCUACACCAUUAAGUAGGUAGUAGAGCUAUGAAUCAAGAGGGCUUUUUAUGUGUGACUCAUUUUCAAUUUUAUAUUUAAUUAGUUUCCAUGGCAGUAGUGGAAUCGUAGUCUGUGUCUUAUGAAAGGAGAAACUACACGAGAGGUUUCCGGCGUAAGAUAUUUUGUAGGUAACUUGUUCGAUCAAAAUAUAGCAGAGUGCCCUUCGCUUCAUUUUUUCUCGUCUCUUUAUUAAAGCUGGAGUAGAAGUUGGCACACAAGAAAUUUUUUUAAUUUAAAUUAUAGAAACACACGUAUGUUUCUAUUUUCGAGCAGGGUGUCCAAAUACUAUAUAAUUUUUGGAUUACCCCAAAAAUUAACUCAAAAAUUCAAUAAAACAUUGAAAAAAUAAAUGCUCUGUUCGGAUUUGGUUGACUCAACUGCAGUCUCACUCAGGAGUUCAAGAUAUUUUGCAAUCUCUAAAUAUUUAUGAUAUUUCAAAGAUUCAAAGAGGUUGUUUGGAUUCAUGGAAUUUAAACAUUUAAUGGAUUUAUUAAAUUUCUUUGUUUGAUUAAAAAAAAUUUGUCAAAAUCUAUGGAAUUAAUAAAUUCCAUCAUCAUGGCUUCAAUUUCAACAUUUUAAAAGAAAAAGAAAUCUCACUUCAUUGGUAGAAUUUUCUCAGGAUGAAAUUUAAGCCACUUAAUUUCAUUUGAAAUUUUUUUUUUUUAAGUUCAUGAAUUUUAUUUUUUAAUCAAACAAUUGAAUGUCAAAUUCCAUAGAUUUCACAAAUUCAUAAUUUGAUAUUUUACGAAUUUUGUAAAAUUCAUGGAUUUCACAUUUUAAGAUCCGAAACCAACAUAUUAAUUGAAUAAUUUCUUUAUAUAAGAUAUCGGACAAUGGAUUGGAUUACAUUCCCAAUGAUACUCACCUACCUUUGGAACUCCUCAUCUAAAACACAUUGAAUUUGAUCUCUCCACAAAUUAACUGCUUCGGCUCCAAAUUAUUCACAAUUUAUUAUUGAAAAGGUACGGGAUGCAUAGAAUUUGAAUAACGAAAUUUAAAUAUUUUUCAAUUCUAACAUUUUUUUUUUUAUAAAUGAUAAGUUUAAACCACUUAAUUUUAUUUCAAUAAUAUUAUCAUUAAAUCUAAUUUAACCAUAUGCCAUUCCGAACAAAAUUUCUCCAACAUUAACCUAAUAAGGUACCUUCUUCAUAUUUUUUUUUUUCAAAAACUGAAAAUAAAAGUUUAACUAUUUAACCAAAUAAAAGUCAUAAAAAAAAAGUAAACUCAUAAAAUUAUCUUUCAACCUAAUGGUGUAAUAUAAAAUUUUAAAAUUUAUAUAUCCUGUGAAAUUCAUAUAUUUUGAUAUUUCAUCAAUUUAAUACCUUAAAUAUAAAAAUAAGUACACCACGGCUGCGUAAAAUAUUAAAUCUCAAGUCUAUCCGAUUCAAAACUGAAAAACUUAAUUAUUAAAAACACAUAUACGUUCGAUUUGUCUGGAUGGAAUAGAAGAUAAAAAUAUUUCACAACUAAAAAGGUGCAGGAUUUGUGAGCAUUUAAAUAGUUUAAUCAUCUAGGAUCAAUUAUGCUAAUCUUGUUCAUCAUUUCCAUAUCUUUUUCCCAAGAAGCAAAACAAAGAAUCUUUCGCCAUUAGAUAAUAUUCUUCCAAUCACAGUACUACAAAUCCACAGUCACAGAAUUCCGGUGAUGUUGGAAUUUCCAGUCUUUAGCAGUAAUCUUUAGACUGUGCUUUAUUACCAGAGAUUCGCAUCAAUCUUUAUCUUCUCUUUUUAUCCAUUUCUUAGCUUUAAUCUAAACUUAUCUCUGUAUUUUUAUUUCUAUUUUUUGAAGCGUAUUGCAUCAGUAUACAUACGCAACGUGUUUCGCCUCAAUUGAUGUCAUAUAUAUAUAUAUAUAUAUAUAUCUUUGCUCUUCCAAUUAGCAAAUCAAGACAGAAAAAAAAAGGAAAAAGGAAUACAUAAUUAAUAAUGCAUAUACGUCUCUAUAUAAAAUCUGUUCUACAGACUUUGAUUCACCAACAGCAACCAGACGCCUAAGUAAAAUUAAGCUCUCAUAAGCAAUUAAUCCAAGUUUUUCCUUCCAAAAGAAGACAUGGCUCCAUUUUUUACUUUCCACACCAACUGUAAAUGCUGUCCUCCGCCUCCCCUUACUGAACCCUAUCUGAAAGAAAUUUUUAGGCGCUUUGAUAGUGACAGAGACGGCCUUCUUAGCCGCCAAGAGGUUGCAAAAGCCUUCGAGUACUUGGGUUCUCGGCUGCCGGGCUGGCGAGCUCAGCGAGCUCUCUAUCAUGCUGAUAAGAAUAGAGAUGGCUACGUGAAUGAAGCCGAGUUGGUUGAGGUUGUUAAAUAUGCACUUUCAUGUAAUUAUAAGAUGCCAAUUGGUAAAUGGUAAUGGAUGUCUGCUUUCUUACGAGAAGAGAAACUGAAGGUGUUAUAGUAUUCAUAUAUGUUUCCUGCGUAAGAAGUUGCAGAGAACUUGUGUAUUAUACUAGUGUUUUCUUUUUCAUUUUCUUUUUGCCCUUUCUGAAGGAUAUGUACUAGUGUUUUCAAUCAAUAUAAAUUCUUUUUUUUAUAUAUUUUUUAUUUCUACAAAAAUGUUGCUGAAUAACGGAUAAUUGAUUUUGUUAUAAGUGCGAUGAAAACUUAUAUGAUUCAAUUAACAUGCAAACUUGCCAAUCUAUUUUUUAAAAACAAAAUAUAUUCAAUAAAAGUAAUCAUAUCAUAUCAAUAAAAACAAAUUAAUAAAAUAAGCAUAUCAAUAAAAAUCACCAUAUAAAAGAAACAAGGUAUAUAUACAGAAGCUAGCGACAAUAUAUUCUCUCUUUUUUUUCUAAUAUAUAAAUUAAAAUUCCACAUAUAUAUAUAUAUUCCGAGAUGGAAUUUGCAGAUUCUCGCAACUAAUUUUUGCUUUGAAUCAACAAACACAUGUGGUUUCAAGUGGCAUAGUUGCUUCAAUAAUUAAGGCUUUGUUUCGGAAGGAGGAGAAAAAUAAUGAAGGAAGGAAAAUUAUAGAGGAAAAAAUAGGGAAUUGUCAUAAAAAAUUAUUACUAAAUAUGUUUACAAUAAUGAAAAUAAUCACAAAAAAAUUGAUAAAACAAAGCAAAAUACAAUAGAAAACCUUCUUGAAAAGCUUUCAUGGUGCAAGCUACUAUGGAAUCAUCAAAGAAAGUAAAUUGUUUCCAUUAUUAUAUAAUUUCAAGACCACAAUGGAAUCGAUUCUUUCGUUAUUAUUCAGGGACGAAGUAAUAGGUAGGGAUGAGAGGAUUUGAACCCAUGACAUUUUGUACCCAAAAUAAAUGCUCUACCAAGCUGCACUACAUUCCUUUCGAUUAGUUUACAAUGUUAUUCUAAAGAAUAUCGGUUUUGUUUUCUACAUACUUAUUUCAUUUUCUCCCGUGUACGUAUGUAAUGAACAAAAUCCUUAUUAAAUUUGGAGGUUAUAACCAAGAAGCACAUAGAUCUCCCUUAAAACUCACUAGGAUAAGCGAUAUUAUUGAACCAGACAAAGCAACAAGCAUCACUGUUCCCAUCGCUAUUACAGAACCAUACAUGAGAUUCUCACCUCAAAUAGAUUUUCUCGUUAUAUUUUCUGCUACUCCACAAUUUCAUAAAGGAUUCUACCUGGUUUAACGACAACUACCCAAUAUUCGGGAGAUCCUUUCCUAAACCCAGGUCUCCAAAAACUCGUGCAAAGUUUCCUCCAGUGAUAUGAGUUACCACCCCUUGAUCACUUACACUAACCCAAUUUUUUUUUUUUUUUUUUUGAAAAUGAGUUAAUAUUGUUAAUUCUAUUUUCCACUUGGAUAUAAAUAAACAAAGAAAAUAAAUUAUAUUUUCCUUUAUAUGGAAAGUGCAAAAUUUUGAAGGAAAGGAAAUUCUAUUUAUUAUAAAUUGAGAAAUAUACUUUUAUUUAAAAUUUGAAAAUUGAUAAAUAUUUGAAAUUUGUUAGUACUUGAAUAAUUUGCAUAAAAAUAGUAGAAUUUCAUAUUUUUAACUGAUUUUUUUUCAAAUUAGAGAAAUUUUAAAUAUGUGAACCUGUGUGGAAAAUAAGUUAAAGUUCACUCCUUUCAUUAAUUAUUUUCCUCCCCAUUCCCAAAUAAAAGAAAAUUUCUUUUUUGGGAGAUUAACAUAUUUGUCUACACUUAGCCGUCUAUGCACGAUGCAAAUUAAUUAAAAUAUAAAUUUUUUUACAAAUUUUCCCGCUAUAUGUUUCUUUUUCCUAAUGAAUAGGCAGAAAUACUCUCAUUUUUUAAAUAAAUAAAUAAAUAUAUAUAUAUAUAUAUAUAUAUAGUGCAUAUAUAUGUAUGUAUGUAUCUUAAGAAUUUUUAAUUGCCAACUCAUUAACUUUUUUUUAUAAAGUUGAUGAUUUUGGGGUCAACAUUUUGUAGUUCACAUAUUGGUGAACAUUCAGUCAAUCUGGUUCUACUUUUAGGAACCUUCUUUUGUUCAUUCUUCGUCACAAAAUAAUAAUAAUAAUAAUUGGAAAAAUAUGUUUAGUGAUUAACUAUAAUUACAACUAAAUUUUAUUGAUUAAAUCCUUAACAAGUUAUUGAAAAAUAUAAUUACUCAAAAUUCAUUGAAGUCACUAAACUCAUACUCCUUCUUUUUCAAAAUAUAAGUCUUUUUUUCAGUUUUUGUCCUUAAAAUAUAAGUCGUUUUGAGUAUUUUAAAGAAAUAAUAAAUGAUAUUUUUUUAAUAUUACCCUUAUUUACAUUGGAUAUAAUAAAUAUUUUCACAACUAUUGAUUUUGAUAUAAAGAAUCGUUUGGUCAAAUUAUCCUUGAUUUUAUCAUAAUAUAAGAGAAUUAAUUAUUUUAUUAAUUUUUAUAUAAAAAUUUUAAAUGACUUUUAAAAGAGAGAGAAAACAUUAUUAAGAAAUAUUGAGUAAUCGCUUUCUGAGUACAGGUUGACAACAACACUGCAUCUAAUUUUGGUAACUCUUUGGCUACGACGUCAGGCUCCUAGUUUAACUUGUCUGAAACAGUCAAUCGCGUCUUUUUGUAAGAAUGUGAAGUGAUAGGAUGACGUGUUUUUUUUGCAGAGCGCAGAAAUUUAAAUUUAAAUUUAUUGUUAAAUUAUAUUUUAAUGUGUAAACAAUAACUGUCUUUAAAAUAAUUAUCAACUAAUGAAUGAAAAAAUAUCAGCAAAUUUACGCACUCAGUCUAAACAAUUAUUUUUAUAUAUCAUAUAUUAUACGCGUAUAUAUGUACUGUACAUUGUACAUAGGUCUUUGACGGUUGGGAUCAGCUAAAGACAAGUACGAUGAAACCUGAAGCAGAAUAUUAUUUGUGCUGCCCAAUAGAAAAUUAAAAAAAAAAAAAAGAAACCAAUCAAGAGAGCACGCGUCAUUAAGUUUUGCUUCGGAAGGCGUGCAGACGUGGCAAGGGCAUAGCGUGCCAUGUUGGCCGGUGAACCGACAUUUGAGGCUCCCCUUCAAAGCGAGACUGAGUCCCACUUAUCUUUCCUUCCUUCCUCAUGAAAUUUUAUUAUUAUUAUAAGUUUGAACUAAAUAAUUAAUAGUUAUUAUUUUAUAAAUCACCCACCAUAGAGACCGGUUUGCCUUUUCAUUAGUGAAAUGAUGGCCAGGUGGGGCCAACUCCACAUGAGCUCACUUCAGCUCAACUGCUGCCUUCAAUCGGUAUUUAAGAGCCCACCAAUGUCUUCAACGAUCAACGUUUACUCGCUCUAUUUCCAAAUAGUCGUCGCAUCUGAAAAAAAUAUUAAUGUUAUAUUUCUAAAUACUUAUUAUAUUUAUAGAUUUCAAUAAUUAUUAUUAUUUUUUUUCUUUUUUCACCCUUUGCAUAUAAUUAAUUAUUUAAUAAUUUAUUAUAAAUUAGACAAAUUAAAAAUAGUAUAGUCAAUCAAUACUCAACCUCCUACUUAAAUGACUUAAGACUUUUUUACUCAAACCAAUUUCUAUUUAUAUAUUUAAAUACUACUUUCUUUGUCCCCAAAAUAUAAAUCGUUUAAGAUUUUUGCAUAAAGAUCGAGAAAGUAAUUAAUUUUCUUAGAUUAUAAUAAAACAAAGAGUAAAUUGACUAAAUUAUAUUUUAUCUCAAAAUCAAUAAUUACUUAUAAAAAUAUUUAUUAUAUCCAAUAUAAAUAAUAGUAAUAUUUAUAAAACAUCAUUUAUUACUUUUUAAAAUACUCAAAACGACUUAUAUUUUGAGACUGAGAAAAUAUUUCUUAUAUUGGGAUUGUAACAUUUAUCUUUCACAAUUUAAUAACAUAUCAUCUUGAUAAAUGUUUUUGAAACAACACCAUUAGGGACAUUACUUUUUUUUUACUCCAUUUGAGAAAAUGACCCUACUAUUUACUUAUUUUAUUUCUUUUAGGUAUGAAAUUCAAUAUGAAUGAGAAUAAAUAAUUGUGGAAAAUAUUUUAUAGUUUUCAAUUCAAUGCAUUACUUGAUGAAGAAUAUUCUAUAACCCGUAUCCAAACAAAGGCUUAAUUACGGGAGAUAUAAUUGGGUUUGGGUCAAGAUUCUUACCAAACUAUAUAUUAAUUAUAAUAGGAAUCAUUUCACUUUUGUUCAAAAAUUCAGUGUUUAUAGUAAGCCUUAAGCCUUACCGAUACUAUCUUGCGGUCAAGUUAUUCGAAACAUGUGGUCUAGUUUAUCCUCACUUGACUAUACCUUUGUCUUUUUGCUUUAUUUCUCCGCUUUGUAACCAAAAAAUAAACAAAUAAAAUUCAGUCACUGUGAUUAACAUUAUUAUAAAUUGUUCCUGAAAAAACGUUACUAAAGUGAGAAAAAAAAAAAAAGAAUAUGUUUGACCAGAUAACGUGGCAGGAUGAUUUUUUUUUUUUUUUUUUGCCUUUUUUUUUGGUACAAAAAGAAGAAGACAUAAAGAACUGAUUACUACUUCUCUUAGAGAAAGUUAUAAUAGUUCUAUUAUGAUAUCAUUAGUAAAAUUUCACUUUAUUUGGGAAGGAGAGGAAAGAAAAUAAUAGAAAAAAAUAAUGAAGGAUUGAAAUUAUUUUCUUUUCUUAGUUAUUUUUUACUCUUUGUUUGGACGAAGAGGAGGAAACAAAAUUAUUAUAGUUAAUUUAUAAAUUUGCCCUUAUUAUAAGACAAAUAUCACUAUUUCUUAUGGAAAGCAUGGCCCAGGAAAAAUUUAAUUAAAAUUUUUAAUUUCUUCCUCUCAGACUUUAUUCAAGGUUCCUAAACAUGAGUAUUUUCCUUCCUCUCAGAAAAUCCUCCCUUCCCAAACAGAGUGUUAGAAAACGAACAGAAGCAGGAAGUAAAGCUUCACCAGUAAGUUAGCAGAUUAUCACUUUGCACAUAAACUUUAGAGAAAACCUUUUUAUCGUAAACAAAAAGCAAUUUGUUUUUUUUUUUUUUUUUCUUUUCAACUGCCUAUAUAAGAACCUAAUACCCACAUUUGAAGAACACACAAAAAGCAGUUUCUCAACCGUAAAAACAGAAAAGAAAACAUGACUUGCCAAAAGAAUAUAGACAGAAGGUGCCUAAAGCCUGUGCCUAUUUUCAUGCCAGUAGGGCCAAGUGAAGAGCAAAUAGAAAGUUGCUUCCGGCGUUUUGACACCAACGGAGAUGGCUAUCUUAGCAUUCAAGAGCUCAAGAACGCCUACAAAGCCCUAGGCAGGUCUUUCCCGCUCUGUCGAGCUUUGCGUGCGCUCUACAUUGCUGAUGAAAAUCGAGACGGAUACAUUAGCAAGAAAGAGUUUCACAGAUUAUUCAGAACUGCUUAUAUAUAAAUAACAGAGGUUGCCGUGGCAACUAGAAGUGUUUGUAGUUUCUCUUUUUCUUUUUUAGCGAAAAUGAAAUCCAUCUAUGAUUAUUGUUCAAGUAAUCAGCACCAGUGUGUUUGUAAAUUGGAUCUCCUGACACCGUUUUAGCGUGUAUGUAUGAUCCUGCAAUUAGAGUGGAUAUAAACUCAGAUUAUGUAUAAAUAAAGAUAGGUUUAUAUGUACUUUAUAUCGUAGUUUUGGUGUCUUUUUUUUUUUUUUUUUUUUUUUUUUUUGGUAUACCGUUUUGGUGUCUUUUAAUUUUACAUGUUAAGGGCCAAGUAAUCCUUUGAGGCAUUAUAUAUUUCUGUGUAAAAUGGCAAAUUUAAGCUUGAUGUAUAAAUUAAAUUCAUUUAUCACAUUUGUUAAUGCUUUUUCUUGCUUUUCAUUAUCUUACAUUUGGAGUAUGGAAUUAAUCAUACACCAAACAUAGGAUAUCUAUGCAUAUAAUCCACUGCAAUAAUUUUUUUUAUAUUUACGAUUUAAUUAAAACAAAAAUUAAAAAUAAUUGUCACAGAUAUUUAUAUGAUAUACUUUUAUUUAUUUAUAUACAAGUAAAUCUAUUCAUGAUUGAAUUUUGGAUUUGGUAAAUUUUAUAAAAGAUUUUUUGAGAAGAGUAAAUUUUAUAAAUAAUUAAGGCUUGAUUUCAUUUGUAAAAUCAGAGUUUCUUUUUGAAUUUAAUUUAAUCUUAUUCUUAAUUAUAGAUUUGGGAUUUUGGAUAGAUAUUUAAAAAGUGCAAUCUUGAUAUGCAUCCUCUUUUGUGUUUUUUAUUUUUUUUUAAUAAUUUUUGUGGGCUCAACUUUGCGACAAGAAUUAUAUUCUUGCUAAACAAAAUUGCUUGUUUAAUGUCAUUAUUACAUAUAAAUCUGUGAAAAUGAUUGAAAUCUUAGAAGAUGGGUAUCAUCUGUAUCAGUCAAAAUAAGCAAUUUUGACCAUCAGUCCCACUACGAAUAUUGAGAGUUACUUUUAGGAUAAAAAGUUCAUUAAGUGGGUUAUAUUUGUGUACUUCGAUUCUAAAGAAGUGACUAAUGCCUAUUUUGUAAUGGCUUUAACAAAAGGAAGAACAAAUUCUAUGAGCAGACAAGAAACUUUUAAUAUUUUUCCUAUAACAUGGCUAUCUUGUUCCCUUUGCCAUAUAUAUAUCAUUUAUUUUAAGAUUAGCUUUUUAAUUAACUUUCAUUAUUCAAAGAACCAUAAGUAAAAGCCACAAAAGAUCAAUCAAUAAUGCCAUAAAGUUUGAGAGAUACGCAAUUGUAACUAACUCCAAGGUUGGCCCUCGAGAUUCUCCAAACUAUAUUUACUUCGACGGAUAUUUUCAUUUUCGGAAAUGAUAUUCGAAUAAAAUUCCAUUAAUAUUAGCGAAUUUAUGUUUUAAUUUAAUUCCCUAAACUUACAAAUAACUUAGUAACAUUUUUUUGUAAAGUAUGAUAAAAAAUGUUUUACAAAAAAUGUGUUUUGCAAUAGUUAAUGUUAUUUUUUUUAUAGUAUUCGGUAAUAUAAUAUUUAAAUUAAUAAUGUUUUAUAAAAAGUUAACACAUGUAACACUUUAGUUUUUAGUAUUUAACAAUUUAGUUUUUAGUAUUUUAUAAAAAAUUGUUCAAAUUAAACAGCUAAUAGUUAAAACUAUUGAAACAGCUAACUGUUGAGAAUUUGGGCCAAUUAAUCAAAUCAAAUUCAAUUAUAUAUUUAAUAUUGGACUUAUAAUGAAUUGGACUUACAUUUAACGCAAAAUGGUCUAAGCCUUUUGACUAGUUCACCCUUUACAUUAUAUGUCAUUUUAGUUAGUUGUAUUUAUCCGAUGUGGGAUUACCCACAUACUCCAACACUAACACCUACCAAAACAACUAAUUCUACCGAACAAAUCCAAAGUAUUAAAAACCCCCCCACUUCCUUUGUCCUUUUAUGAUAAGUUGGAAUCUGUUACAGAUUGGGUGUUAGAUAAAGAUGUGCUCUAUAAAUACGACAGUACUAAUUACAAACAAGGCAAACCGAAAAACACCAAAAGAAACAAAACAAGUCUACUAUAUUAGACAUAUAUAUGGAUUUCUUAUCCCAUAGAGGAAUAGAUAAAAAUUGCCCUAGGACUUGCGUGAACAAGAAAGGUGUGGGCGGUGUUGUUCAUUACUCAGAAGAACAAUUGAUGAACAUGUUUAAAAGCUAUGACACCGAUCAUGACCGCCGGCUUAGCAAGCAAGAGCUCAAGAACUUGUUCAAUAAGUUGGGUUCUCGUUUUGCUGGCUGGAGAGUUUGGCGAGCUCUUCAUCAUGCAGAUGCUAAUAAAGAUGGGUAUAUAAGCGAGGAAGAAUUUUCCGAUCUUGUUAAGUAUAUUUUAAAAUGUGAUUACAGGAUUUAGUAGCCAUGUUUUCUGCAUCAAGACAAGUGAAUACGUUUUUACCUUCUUUUUUUAAGCAAAACCCUUCUUCUUUUUUUUUUUUUUUUUUUUUUUUUGGCAGUUGGUGUGGUCUUCAUGUACAGUUUCAUUUUCCUAAUUCUAGAUGUAAUCAUGUAGAGUGCUUUUGUGUAAUGAAAACUAGAGGAAAAUAAUUCCUGUAGCCUUUUUUUUUCCCCUCCCCCUUCUUUUCCCUCUUGAUGUUUGGAUAAUGUUUGGAUAAUGGAAGCGAAAGGAAAACGAUUUUGUGGAUAGUAAAAUUAUAAGUUUAAUUUUUUUUUUUUUUUUUUUGAAAAAAAAGUGCAAUGAACGAGGGUAAAAGUGUAAUUUCAUUAUUUUCCUAAAAAAUUGGAGGAAAAAAUCACAUAUGCCGAUCCUAUAAUAUAUUUUUCCUCUCAUAUUUUCUUCAUUCCUAAACGAAUCAUGGAGGAAGGAAAAUCUUUUGUAUUAUCUUCCUUUUCAGUUUUCUUGCCCCCGUAUUUUCCAUCAAUCCAAAUAUAAUAUGAAGGAAUUGGAUGCUCCAUAAAUUAACAAAGACAUGCACAAACUUAUGUGGUAGUAGUUAUUCCAUAUAAGGCAUGAAUAAUAAUUUUAUAAGAAUCUAUUAUUUAUUCGCACAUGAAAAUAUUUCCUAGUUUACACUUAAAAUAAGUUAUUAGCAAUACUAAUGUUUUACUAGCUUAAUUCUUCUGGAAUUUUUAAUUAUCAAAUCAAAAAAUAAAAAAACAAAAAGUGAUUUUUUUAAAUAUUGGGGAUGGAAAUUCGAACAUGGUAAUUAAUAAUUUAUUUUAAAUAGAUAUUUGUUCUCUGAAUAAAAAAUCAGUGCGUUAAAUUUUUAUUAGAAAAAUACUUAAUUAUUUUACUUUCAUUGUAUCCUUUAAAUAUGAUUAAUGCUAUUUCUUUCUAAUACAAAAUAUACAUCCAACAAUUGAUUCCUUAUGCUAAUAAAUUAUGUUUAAUAAAUAAAAAAAAUAAGCAACUAACACCAAAUAUAUAUCACAUUACUACAAACACAGCAAAAAAAACAAAACUACUGAAUGGAAAAAAAAAAAAAAAAUGGAAAUCAACUAUAAAAAUAUAAAAAUCAUGUUCCCCCCCCCCCCNNNNNNNNNNCCACCCCCCACAUUAUUGAAUUUAUUUCAAGGAAUCCAAUUUAUAGACUAGAGCCAAGAAAAGAAACUCUCGAAAUUGAAGGAGCUUCCAACUUUGGCAAAGAAUCCGCAUGAGGGUAGAUCCUCCGUAUUGCUUCGUGUUUCUCUAACGGGAUCACUUACCAUGUGGUAACUGGUAGCUGUAAUGCGGUUGUUCUUCCUUCAAAGGUUGUUUCUGAGAGUAUGUUUUCUUAUUGCCUAUAAGGUGUUUGUAUAAUUGCCUAGCUGGAGUGGAGUGUCUGUUAUGUUUUAUAACUUUAUAUUCUCUCUUCUUACAAGAAAAAUAAAAGAGAAUGGUGGUAAAUCGAGAAAAUAUUCAAAGCUACUUCAUUUUUAGCUGUUGAUCGUAACAAGUUAACAGAAAAGCUAAAGAAUAAAUACAUCAAGAACUAAAAUUCCUUUCAAUUUGCAAUGAGACUGUCCUUUUUGAAGCAAAAUCAAAAUUUUUUUGUACGGAGGACAUCGCAAGCUUCAGAAAAUCUUGCACAAAUAUAUUAAGGCUGCUCUGUGCUUUUGCUUGCAACGAUAGCAAAGGAUCUGCUUUCUAAAGGCAGUUCAAAGUCUUCAUUAGGCGUCUACAGGAUAAAUCCCCGUCCCACAAAUAUAAGUGUAUCUUCAAUUACCAUUGGAUGUCUCCUUGAGGGCUGAUGUAGGAUGUCCCCUUUGUUAUUCCUUCUUUCUUCUUCAAUAAAAUCUACAGGUUAAUUGUUUAUCUGGGUGCAAAACAAAGGAAUGAAGAUAUAUAGCUACGAAAAUUCAUGUGUUGGCUUAUGUAGUUAGUAUCUGGCAGAAUAUAGUAAAAAUCUAAUACUAAUCAUCAUUCGAACAAAAAAAGAUAUAUGUAUAUGUGUGUGUGUGUGUGUGUGUGUGUGUGUGUGUUACGUAACAAUGAUACAUCAAAAAUCAAAAUAUUCUAAUAGAUUAUAAUAAUUAAUUGAAAUUAUGUAGAAUGAAUCGAAGGUGUAUGCAAACACAAGGAAAAGGGAAGAAAAAAGGGAAUAAAACUCAAACAACUCUUUAUUCUGUUGUAUUAGUAUUACCUGUUAUUAUUUCACACUAAGUUUGGCUCUUGCAUGACCAUGUGAUAUUUGGAACUGUUCAGUUAACCCAAAAUGUGCCAUCAGGAGCCACACAUGAGUGAGAAGUUCUCCGCCCCGUCCCAACUGCUGAGCAUGAUUGGUUCCUCUACAGUGGCUGGCAGCAUAAGCCAGCAUUUCCACCCACACAUUACUCAGCACCUCCCACCUGUUUGGUUUUGGUAUGUUUUGCAGAUCUGAUGCUAGCCUGCAUGCAUCAAAUAACACAGACUUGCUUCUGUCUCCUUUUACUUUAACUGGAGGAACUACAGUGUUCACGUUAAGUAACGCACUGCAGGCUUUAAUUUCAUAUGGAUCGAAUGUUCCCUUUUUGAAAAGAUUGAUUGCCCAAGAACUAAUAUUAUUAUACUUUUGGAUACCAGAUGCUGUGGAUUUGUGCUCUUGAAAAAAUUUUGUUGCUUCAGUGCAAGUGUCUUGGUAUCUGAUCUUCCCGAUCCCCAUUGGCAACAUGGAAGGACGCAUAACCAGGAGAUACAACAUAUACUGCGACAAUGAUUUGCUUAUUUUUUUAAAGUCCUUGCCAUUAUUCUGUUCAUUUUUCCCACUUAGCACUCCAUUUUUGGGCUGAUUUUGCUCACUAGACACUUCAUUUUUAUGGUCACUUUGCACACUUUCCACUUUAGGUUUUUGCUCAUUUUGCCCACUCAACACUUCAUUUUGUUGCUCAUUUUGCCCACUCGACACUUCAUUUUGUUGCUCAUUUAGCACAAUCCACACUUCAGUUUUUUGCUCAUUCUGCACACUUGACACUUCAUGUUUCUGCUCAAUUUGCCCACUUGACGCCUCAUUUUUUUCCUCAUUCUGUACACUCGCCACGUCAGUUUUCUCCUCAUUUUGCACACUUGACUCUUCAUUUUUCUGCUCAAUUUGCCCACUUGACACCUCAUUUUUUUCCUCAUUCUGUACACUCGCCACGUCAGUUUUUUGCUCAUUUUGCACACUUGACAUUUCAUUUUUAUGCUCACUUUGCACACUCAACACUUCAGUUUUUUUCUCACUUUGCACACUCGCCACCUCAGUUUUUUGCUCACUUUGCACACUUGACACUUCAUUUUUAUGCUCAGUUUGCACACUUGGCACUUCAUUUUUAUGCUCACUUUGCAGACUCGACACUUCAGUUUUUUGCUCACUUUGCACACUCGACACUUCAGUUUUUUGCUCACGCUCACUUUCCAUACUUAGCACUUCAUUUUUUUGCUCUUUUUGCCCAAUGGACUCUUCAUUUUUUUGCUCAUUUUGCCCACUCGACACUUCAUUUUGUUGCUCCCCUUGCCUACCUUGAUCAUCAACUUUGAUUGUUAGCUUAUUCUCUUCAUUUUGUUGCUCCCCCUGCCUAUUUUCCUUAGAUUGCAUUAGAAUUGUAGCAAUGUGCCAAAUAAGAAUGCUUUGGUCAAACUCUACCUCCACACUCCAAAGCAAUUGAUUAAACUCGCGGAGGGCGUGACUCCCCCUAUACAUGCAGAUAUCUUUAAGCUCUUUCUGGUACUUCUGUUCUUCUGUGCUUGAUUUAGUCUGCAUGAGAUUGUCGAAUUUCUUCUUGAGAUGUUGAAAUAUGGAAUCUUUCAACUCAUCAGUGACUUCUUCCCAAGUCACAUGCUGGUAUUCUAGUAUUUUGUCAAUGCCAAAGAGCUUGUGGAUUUUGCUGUCGAUCAUCAUGGGCUGACAUGUGAGGCAAUAGCUCAAUAAACUAUAUUGCGGCAGGGAGUUUGACCAUCUCUGACGUCUACGCAGCUGUAGAGGAGUGAUUACUUGGCGAAUAACUCCUUUGUGCUUAGACAGAUAAAGAUCUGUCCAAUCUGAUGAGACUUGUAAAAGCAUUGCAUAUAGCUCAAGAAGAACAGCUAUAACCAGCAACAAGAAGGUUAUGGCUAUAUCAAUCUUGGAGCAUUUAUGCUUGCUGGAUAAAGAGAAAAAGACUAGUACAAUGCAGGUGGUGGCGAGAGUGAUGAACCGAAGCCAACAGCCCUUGCGUGUGUAAAUUAUUGUUCCUUUAGUGUAGAGCAAAUCAUACAUGAAUCCGAGUUCAAUCUCGACAAUUUUGAAAGCAUCUUGGCAGGAUAUUUGACCAAACAAAGACUGGCUAUUGUCUCGAUCCUGAAAACUGAGGAUGAGAUCAACAAAGAGACGCUUGAAAGUCUUGAAUAAGUAAUGAGCUUUAAGCAAUUCGGUUGCACCUUCAAAGGAAAUAUCCCCCAUGGAAGAAACAUCCACUGUGACUUGCCCCUCAACUACUUCAUCUGCUACUACAUAGAACCCUUCACAUUGCUUUAAAGUGAAUUCCUCCAUGAACUUGGAGUAAUUCGGACCGGGAUCUGGAGCUGUAAUCAUGGAAUCUCUCAAUUGCUCGUUGCUUGCUGUUCGAAGCGACCAUGUCCUCUCUCCAUAUUUGAUAAUUCCUGCCAAGAACAUUGGCAUGGUAAGAAUGGAGAAGCGAGAACUUGACCAGGCCAGAAGAAAUAUAUACAGUGCGACUCCUGUUUGUACUCCAAUCCCAAGAAAGUGUCUCAACCACAGUUCAUUGUCCUCCAAAGAAUAUGCAGUGAUAGUAUCAGGGCCACCCAAGUGCAGCAGAAGAAAUGGCGCCCAAAAUGCAGUAAGCUGUGUGUCUGCGUCUAACUUUGGUUUUUUACUCUUAUUGUCCUCGUACAGAUCUCCCAUGUUGUUCAAGAGCACUCCAAGAGCAACUGUAGCUACCCAAUCGGCCAUCAAGUAGGCACACCAUAACAGCACUCGAACCCAGGUUCUCCUCGAAUAUUUCCUACGAUUUCCAAAAAAGAUUAAUAGUAUCUGCAAGACAAGGCUGAGUAGAACCAGAACACGAAGCUCCCAUUCCUUCCACAAUUUCCUCACUGCUGGAGAAAAAAUUUCCAUGUCUAUUCUUGCCUUUACGUAAAUUAAGCCGCUAACAACUGAAAAUCGAGCGCAGGGUGUUAGAAACUUACAUAUAUAAAUUAACUCUGAAUUACAUUAAAUUGAGUAAAAGAAACAAAAUAGUACAUUUUUAAAAUAAUAAUAGAAGUGGAGAAAUAAUUACGUACCAGCUGGGAUCAUACUGCCAAAGUUGAAAACCUUGUUUCAAGCUAAAAUUUGGGCUUAAAAUGUAAUUUCCAUUCUUGGGUCUUGUUGGGUUGGCUGAAAUGAACAACACGAGUGCCUUACAAAUAGAAUGGAGCCAUUUUAAAUACAUAGGCUUAUCCACGUGUCACACGUUGGAAUAUUUGAAACUCUUCUGAUACGCAAUCGAUCAGUUACUCUGAGAUCUGUAAGGAUGAAUGAAUCUACCAAACAAGUCCAAUUUUAUAUGUCCCAGUCGCCAAAAUUUAACACAUGAAUACAGUCUUAUCCUUUAAAUAGUAGUUGUAAUUACUAAUUGAAUAAUUAGCCUGCUGUGCUGUAUCUAUUAUCAGCAAUUACAAUUAAAGAAAUUUCAGUAGAAAAAUUAAAAUUAUAUUAAACAUUGCUUGGAAACAAUUUAUAUUAAUUAGGGAAUUAAUGAAAAGAAACAAGAAAAAUUAAAAAUAUAUUAGUUAGGAAGAAUUUUUCAUUAAUUUAGGAAUGACAGAAUAAUAUUAAUAUAGAAUAAUACUUUCGAGUUUGUCUGUGAUUUCAAUUGCCCAACACCUAUCCACAGGGUUAAAUGUAAGUUGAACAUACAGCCUGUGAGGAAAAAAGGAACACAAGGAGAAAAGAAAAAAAAAAAAAAAAGGAAAAAGCAAAAGAAUAAAAGGAAAAUAAAGAACUCUCAUUCUUAACGUACAUAAUAAGAAAAUGAAAAGGAAACUAAUUAGAAUUUAAAGCUACGCUAAUGAGUGAACGGGCUUUGUUGAGGAAAGUAAUUCGAGUAUAGGUUCUUUAGUUGUACUUUUCUUGAACUAAGAAUCACGCCAUUGGCUUGGCUUCGGUCUCCCAUCUCUGAGAUAUCUCAGUUCGCAGGCUGAUUAAGAGGACGUAUUAAUUGUUCGUACCAUAUAAGUAAUUGUUUCUGUAUAGAAUAUGAAAUUCAUAUCAUUUAGUUGUUGAAAUUUUGGAAGGAAGAAUAGAAAUGCACGUGAUGAUUAAAAAUGUUUAACAUUUCAUUGAAUUAAUAAAAGGAUAUGCCUAUUUAUAGGCUUAUAAGCGAAUCAAAUAAGACCUAAAAAUACUCCUAAAAAUCACUAAUCCUAAUAACAAAAACAUCAAAUUCUAUGCAGAAAAUCUGCACUAAAUAAAAUUGAAAUUUCAAAAUAUUUUUAAUAAUAUUAUUUUGAAUUAAUCCUAACAUUCUGUGUUAAUUCAAACAUAAUAUUUUUUAUUACAAUAAUUAACAAUUAAAAAUUUUUAAUCUAGAAUUUGAAGCACUUCUCUUCCAUUAACUUUGUUGAAGCGCCUCUUUCCAACUCAUUAUUUUGAUACACUUCUCACCAAAAUUUUGAUGCAUUUCUCAUCAAACUAGCAAUUUUUUUUAACUUUUUGAAGCACUUCUCUUCAAAUAUUGAUACACUUCUCAUCACUUUUCUUUUAUUUUGGAGCACAUCUCUUCAAUGUUCUCUUAGAAUAUAUCUCUCCAAUACUCAAAAAGAGUUUCUUCCUUUGAUACCAAGGUAUGACCCAACACGGGAACUUCCCUUAUGGUUCGGAUCCAAGGAAGGCUCUGAUAUCAUGUUGAAAUUUUGGAAGGAAGAAUGGAAAUGCACAAGAUGAUUAACAAUGCUUAGCACUUCAUUUAUUUAAUAAAAGGAUAUGUCUAUUUAUAGGCUUACAAGUGAAUCAAAUAAGAUCUAAAAAUAUUCCUAAAAAUCAUUAAUCCUAAUAAUAAAAAUAUCCAAUUCUAUGCAGAAAAUCUGUACUAAAUAAAAUUGAAAUUUCAAAAUAUUUUUAAUAUUAUUAUUUUGAAUUAAUCCUAACAUCAGUUAGGAUUAAUCUUUGUAUUUUUGUCGACCAAACGAAGGAAUUUGACAAAUCCAAGAAAUAUUUAAAUUUUUCCGAGUAAGGUUAUGAACUAUGCUAGAAAAAUAGAUAAAUUGGAGGGCUCAAGGGAAUAAUUUCAAAGCAAACACAUUUAUAUUACAACAGAAACACACUUUUAUAAUUACAACAACUGGAAGACAGAAUAAUUAGAAAAAUACAAUCACAAAUGGAGCAAUAAAAAACAAGCAAUUAGAAAUUGUCCAUCAUUUUAAAUUUACCAGUUGAGAAAGAAAUCCCCAUUUCUCUUAUUUAACAUUAAUUUCCAAUUAUAAGCACACUUCCAUUUGGCUGUCUUAUCACUUUUGCAUUUAAGAUUGUCCUUCUGACAGAUAGCUCUGCAUCAAAAUAUAUGUUACAGCAGAAUUUUUUAGAAAGCAUUUAAGGAGCAAAUUGUUCUUAAGACAAGAAGAAAUGAAAUGACUUAACAUUUAUAAGGGGGAAAAUGUAAUUAAAGAGAAAUAACAAAAACUUACUGGCAGAGGAUCGAACUUCCAAUUGUUUUUUGUAAUCUUCACAUUCCUCUCCUUCAUGGUGCUUUCCAUUUCUGCUACAAAAUCUUCAGACAUAUUCGUGAGAAUCAAUUCCUUCAAGGAGUUCAGCUGCUGCCAACCACUAGUUUCCUUCAGUUUAUCGCAGCGUCUAAUUUCUAGUUCUCUAAGGCGAAGCAUGGAACCUUCCUGCACAAUCCACUUCUCCAAUUCCUCUAGCAUCCACAGUUUCAAGACUCGGAGUUCUGGAAACCCUUUAGCUUUACAAGUCAUCUCCUUCCCUAUGUAGGAGCGAGCAAAAAGUCUCAGGAUUUUCAGUUGAGGUAGUUCCCCUAGAGUUUGCAUUGGAUCCUCGGUUAAAUUUGACACGGAUAGAGUAACCAUCUUGAGAUUUUUGGGAAGCUGAAGGUGUUCAAUUUUCUGUGAUAAUUUUCCAAGCAGAUACAAUUCUGAAAGACGAUCAUGUUUGUUCAUGCUCUCCAACUUGAGUUCUGAAGGCCUGCUAAAUUCAUCUAUAGACCUUAGCUUCAAAGAUCUAAGUUCUUUACACUUAGAAAUCCAAGGACUUAUCUGCUCAAGUGAUUUGAAAUGGAAUGUGAGUCCGAGUUUCAUUAGACGAACCAAACUAUUCAACCAGUCUUCUCCAGGGCUUUUUUUGCCUAUUAUUAACCCCCACAAAGUCAAUAGGUUGCCCAAGGAACCACUACCUAAUGGCUUUUGGAAGGACACAUUUAAAUAUAUUUCGUUCAUAUAAAGAUGUCGAAGCUUCUUUGAGUUCCAAAUAGAAAUAGGCAAGGAGUUUAUGUUUGUGUGCUUCACAUCCAGUAUUUCCAAAUUAGGAAGAUCACCAACAGAAUUUGGGAUUGAAUCUAGAAAAGUCCAUCUUAAGCCUAGGUAAGUCAAAUGUACGAGUUUUCCUAUUGCUUGAUCAGAUAAAACUGGUUUAUAGACAUUUUCUAGAUCAAGUACUGUAAGCAAUGAAAAGCCUCGUUUUCUAAUCAUCAUGGUUAGAAACUUAUCAACUUCAUCUGCAGGUGUAUCGCCUUUUCGGGUGUUAAAAGAUAUAUAAGAACGUAAAUUAUCAAUGUCUAAUGGAGAGCUACUGAUGUCUACAUAUGCGGCAACUCUCCUUAUACUAUAGGUUUGCUGAUAUUUUGAGCUACGAAUAACAUCAUAAAAUCCACUGUCUGUCGCAUUUGGGAACACAUUAUCAUAUAGGAUACCUGGCACACGACAUGUUCUGGGACUUCCAUCCAAUCUCCAUCUUGCAACUUCUAUCAUGUUCCUUGUGAUCAGUGCAUUCAAAUAACGCUCAACCAAUUCUUCAGGGGUUUUACCUUUUACUGAUGCAUCCUCCAAUUCUUCAGGGGUUUUGCCUUCUAAUGAUUCAUUGACCAGUCCUUCAGCAGCCCACAAAUGGAACAACCUCCGUACGGGGAUCACAUAUUCUUUCGGGAAAAUGCCUAAAUAAAGUAGACAUAGCUUUAGGGCUGAUGGAAGUUCCUGGUAGGCCAAAGCUAAUAUAGCUUUGGAGGGGUCAUCACCAAAACUUAAACGCUCAACUCUAUCCUUCCAACUCCCUGUAUCUUUGGUAGAUAAAAGACCUCCCAGCACAACAAUUGCAAGAGGCAAACCACUGCAUUUUUGCCAUAUUAGCUCCUUUAAUGAUGCAUCAACUAAGCUUUCUUCAGUUUUUGGUACUUUCUUCAAGAACAAUUUCCAGCUUUGAUCAAUGUCUAAAUUGGGUAGCUCAAUAGGAGUGGAUCCUUGAUCGUUCAUCAAUUCUGCUAUUUUUUUGUCGCGAGUGAUGAAAAUCAGCCUGCUGCCAUUUAAUGAGUUUGGAAAUGUUCGUUUGAGGUUCUCCCACAUAACAUCAGUCUUGACAUCAUCUAAGACUAUUAGGUACCUCUUGCGAAAAAAGAAAUCACGGGCCUUCUCUUCCAAUUUAUCAGGUUGCAACUUCUCCUCAUCUUUGAUUGUUGUAACUAGCUUCAAUAUGUCAAUUAUAAGAUUUUUCAUUUUCUGCUCAACAGCAUCAGAAGCAACUGAUUCUGGGAACUCUUCAGACAAAUUAACCCAAGCACGUAGUUGAAAAUGCUGCACAACAUUGGCUUUGUUAUAAAUAUUCCUCACAAAUGAUGUCUUGCCAGAUCCAGCAGCACCCACCACCGAAAUAAGAAAACGCAAUUUACGGCGGUUAAGUAUAGCUUGUUCUAACUUUUCUGCUUCGCUUUCUCGCCCAACGAACUCUGAUUCGUCAUCUGAACGAUCUGCAAUUGUGCCCAAUUGCUGGGGUGGUGCUCGUCUUUCUUUUGAAAUUGCUCCAGCUUCAGCUGAAUCGGUUGGUGUUUUAUUUUGCAUGCUUUCUUUGUCUGCUGCAAUCUCUUUUUGAUCAACAUCAUUGCUUUCUUGUGCUGCUUUUGAAAUUAUUCCAGCUUCAGCUGAAUCAGUUAGUGUUUCAUUUUGCAUGCUUUCUUUGUCUGCUGCAACCUCUUUUUGAUCAACAUCAUUGCUUUCUUGUGCUGCUUUUGAAAUUAUUCCAGCUUCUGCUGAAUCAGUUGGUGUUUCAUUUUGCAUGCUUUCUUUCUCUCCUGCAACACCUUUUUGAUCAUCAGUAUUGCUUUCUUGUGCACCCUCAUCUUUAUUUUCUACAGAUUGUCUUUCUUUAUAUUCGAUAAUGCGUUUGUCAAUCUCCUCUGUCAGUGACCGCAUUCUUCGAACUAGAAUUUGGCUCUGCACGGGCAUGAAUUGGCUGAAAACACGUACUUUACCAGAAAUUUUUUGUUUCUGCAAUGUCGUUUUUACAAAGAAGGUAUCAAUCGUGUCCUCUAGUGAGUAAAUCUCCUUCAGAGGGUUCCUCUCCAAAUUUUCAUCACUGAUAUUUUUCUGGCUGUUUGUCAGCAACUUCUGAACACUUCCCAAUGUCUCCUUGGUAUUCUCUAUUUGGCACUUCAAUCUUGGAUUAUUAACUUCUUUAUCUUUGAGAGCUUCUAGUUUUUGCAAAAUAAGGUACACUGCUAGUGCUGUAGACAUGACCGCAGAUUGCUUGCCUCUGCUUCUUCUUUCUCAGAAAUAACACAAUUCACGACUUGGUCAGACUUUUUGAGUGAUUGGCGUUAUGUUUUUGGAGAAUUGUUAGACAACAAAGAAUAGAAUAGGAAAUGUAAGACUGAUACUGCUAAUAACUUGGCCAAGUUAAGCUUUUGAUGGCUUAUUUAUUUAUUUAUUGGUUUAGCAAGUUUAAAAUCUCAUUUUCAAUAGAGAGAGAGAGAGAGAGAGAGCUACAGUAUUAUUAUACUUUACUUUUCUUAUGACUAUUUAAAAUUGAGGAUUCUUUCUUUUUAAUUAUCCAAUGGAUAACUUGUCUUGUAUUUUUUAAUUUUGAAUUUAGAAUAAAAAAUAUAUAAGAUACCUUAAAUGAGAUAGAAUUCAACUGCCUAACAUUCACGAAAAAGGAUAAAAUAAAAAUAAUUUUUUAAAAAAUUCUUAUUUUCAUUAGUUUGGUACAUAGAUGAAACUGAUCUAGAGAAGUAUUUUCAAAAGGGAAUAAUUGAUCAAACCCUAGUUAGUUUUGAUCCUUUACCUCUCGGUCUUUCACGCACAAUAAAAAAAACAAAGCAAAAGCUCAAAUUUUGCCUUGGUUUUACAGGCAGGUACAAGAUGCUUUACCCUUGCGUUAUUAAGACAUGCUACUUAUUUUCUUAAUCAAGUCUUUUUGUCAAUUCCGUGAACGUAGGUUCCACUUGUCGGUCCUACAAAAUGGAGAAUUAUACAAGGUGUUAGUGCACAUCUACAUUUAUCAAUUUCAAAUUCUUUCAACAGGGUAAAUUAUACUUUCCUAGAUAAUUGAGAGAGAAAAAUAAAAGUGCAAAAAGAAUGGAAGAACUCAAGCCUCAGGUACCAUUCAUAGUAGCAAUAAAAGAUCAUCCAGGAUCUAUAGGCAGCAGGAAAAUAUCACAUGAAUUAGCAGAGUUCGUACGAUGUCCUCUUAUUAAUGAAAAUGAUAUCACCCAAACCCUUGAAAAAAUAUCCAUUCCAACCCCCUCAAGUUCAACCAUAACUCAAACUUCUAAUGAGCUUUCAGACAAUUUACCUUUUGAGAUUGUUUCUCAAAUUGCCUUAACCCAACUCAACUUGAAGUUCAAUGUUAUCAUCAACAUAUUGCUAUUCAAUGAUACCCGUCUCAAUAAAUUGAUUGAAUUGGAGCAUUCUGGGAAGGCGCGCUUGAUCAUUAUUCAAGGCGAAAGCAAUAAUCAUCAAGAUUAUUAUGACAGUGGUCAUAUCUUGAAGGUAAGCAUCGAAAAAGAGUCAUUUAAUGUGAAUGAAGUUGUCACCAAAAUGUAUAAUUUACUAGAUGGUAUGAGAGAAAAUGCAAAGAGUCACAACAAACUUAUCAGACAACCUAUAAAUGACCAUUUGCAUGAAUUAGUUUUAUCCAAAGAGCCAAGAACAAACAAAAUCCUAUGCAGAAGUUGCUCAAAACUUAUUUCUGGUCUCUCUUAUGAAUGUGCAGAGUGCAAUGAGUUCACCUUUCAUAAAUUAUGUGCAGAGUCGUCCCCAGAUGUAAAGAAUUGUCCUCGUUGGUUAAGGAAAAUGAAGCCAAAGCAAUAUGACUUCCAAAAGACAUAUAAAUGUAAUAACUGUGCAGAAUUUUCAGAAGAUUGUUAUGAUUGUCUCUUCCAAACCAACGUCAAACAUGGAUUUUUGCCGACUAUUCUUCAUCAGCAAAGACAUCAACACUUUCUUAAUUUCAUUAUCAUGCCCUUCCAGUAUAAUUAUCAAUAUAAAUGCUGUAUUUGUGAUAAACUGGGCAGCUCAGUUAGCUACAAAUGUUAUGAUUGCAACUAUGAUGUUCAUGUCAAGUGCAUAUUACCAAGCACUACUUGGAUGCGUGGGAAUGAUUAUUCCCUUGUCUCUGCGUCGUCGUAUCAUCAAGAUGAGUUGGAAAAGUAUAAUUGUGAUAUCUGCCAUGAAAAAAUAGAAGCGAGCCAACUAUUAUAUUGGUGUGAAGAACAAGAUUUUAUUCAUGCGGGCAAAAUUAAAUAUUUUACUGAUCAAAACAAAAAUUUACCCAUUCAUGUGAAGUGCAUGCCUAGUGUUAUUGAAGAAGAGAGUAUUGAUCGGGAAGCUAUUGAAUUCAUCAAGAUGGAGCAUAAGAAUUUUGAGUUAUCGAAAUGGAAAACCUUUAAGUUGCAUUAAUUAAUUAUUAUCAGGGUUUGGUAUAUGUCAGUUAACCAGAGAUUGCUACUGAUUGUUAACACAGCUAUUUACUUAUUUGUGGGUUUGGUCUGGUUUGUAUUCCUGCAGCAGGUUAAAAUCAUUCAUUUUUAUAUUAUUUGUCACAUUUGAAGUAAAAUGAUUUAAUAAUAUUGUGUUUUUCUUUUUUUUUUUUUUUUUUUUUUUUUUGUUCUUUUCAUAUAGUAGCUAAGCUUAAUUAACUACUCCCUACAAGUAUUGUAAUUUGAUUGCAGAGAAACUUCCAAUUUGUAAUUGUAAUGUUCUUAUGAACCGUGUAGGUCAUACAUGGACUUACAAGUUGUAAUUUAUCACACAAUUAGCAAGCUAAAUAGAGUUAUUUAUUUAUCAUUCCUAGAUCUUUGAAAAACAGUAGAAAGAAAAAUAUGUGCAAAAAAUAAAAACAGCAGGUAAACUACACAAAUUACUAUUAGAGGGUGAAAAGUGCAAUUGAAUACAGUUAACAAAUCAAAAUUAUAAGAAAAAGACAAUUUUUUUUGGUAAUUCUACAAAAUACAUCAUAAAAAAGAUAUCAGAAUAUAUAAAGUUGAGAAUACAAUCGGAAAAGAGAGGAACCCUUCCAAUCCAGAAAAGUAGAACAGAAAAUGCAAGGGGUUGAAUCAAAUAUAUUCUAGGAGAUAAGUAGGAAUAAUAAUGUAUAAGCAACUGUAGGGACAUAACAAAGAGUUCUACGUACGUAAACUCUAUAUAAACCCACAUUUCCUGAAUUGAAAUAUCAGAAAGCAAGGGAGCCAUUGUUGCUAUUAGCCAAGAACUAGUAGCAAGUUAUUUGGGUUCUGAGAGUAUGCCUCGUCAACCUUAUAUUGCUUAUAAAGGAAACGUUCCUCAGCCUAUUUUAAGUGAAGAGCUUAUAAAGGAAAUUAUUAAGAGAUGUGACAUCAAUCAUGAUAAUAUUAUCAGCGAGGAAGAGCUAAUCAAAGCUUUUGAUGAACUUGGUUCGAGGUUCCCUUGGUUUAGAGCCCAGAAGGCCAUGGCUUGUGCUGAUUCCAAUAAAAAUGGACAAAUCGACUCCGAUGAGUUGGAUCAAGUCGUCAAAUACGCUAGCAAGCAAGGAUACCAAUUCAAGAAGUCACAAAAAGCUUAUUUGAAUUGAUGUAAUUAGUAAUAUCCAUGUAAGGUGUUGCUUAAUAAUAAUUAGCAACUUUUCAACUUGCUGUUAAUUAAUAUUGGAGUUACUUUUGGGUGUAAGGUUGUAAGUUUAAAUUUUCCCGAAAUCUAAUUUUAGAAAAAAAAAUUUAGCUUUUCUUUUUCUCCUUUGAUAACACUGUGAAAAAACAUCCAUUCAUUGUGCAUGUAUAAGACAGAAUCUAUUCGGUUUUUUUUUUUAAAGAUAGUAUAAAGUUGGGAAUAAUAUAAAGGGUGCAAGGACCAAUAAAGAGAGGCCUAUAUAAGCGCAAGCUUCCACUCCAACAAACUCAUAUUGCAAUAGCUUUAAGCUCCGUUUAUGGCUACCCAUUUGGUUCAAGAUAAUAAAUGUAUGAAUAGUAAAGCCGUGCCUCUAACCGAACAACAGAUACGAGAAAUUAUCAUCAGCUGCGAUUCCAAUCAUGACAAUCUUCUCGACAUGGAUGAUCUAGAGAAAGCCUUUCGUCAACUGGGUUCAAAGCUCCCUGGUUUUAGAGCCACCCGUGUUAUGAGGUACGCCGAUGCCAACAGAGAUGGACUCAUCGACUUGAAUGAACUUAACGAUGUCGUUAAAUAUGCUAGACGACAAGGCUACUCCUUUAAGUGAAAGGUUUUUCCAGUUCAAUACGAUGUCGUUAAAGCUCUGGAAAAUAAAAUAAAUGUGUCGUUAAAGCUUUAUUUGCUGUCGUAUAUGUAUCCAAUAAAGAGCGGAUAGAUAAAGAUAACCCUCUGCUUCGUGACAUUUAUUACUUCUAUGAACCAGUACUUAAGUCAUUUACUUUUUUUUCAUGAGAAAUAGAGGUUAAUUAAACAAAAUCUGGAAAAACAAUCAUUAAUGAGACUUUUUUUUUGGUUAAUUGUGUGACUAUUGUUUAAACCUAUGUCUUCUUAAUUUAAAAAUCAUCUGUCACUGUUUAGAACUUGUUUUGUCUAAAAUUAUCAGCAAUUUUAAUAAAAUUAAUUUUUUUUUAAUUUUACUCUUAUUUCUAUUAACUACAAUAGUUAUGUUCUAUAAUUUUCUAAAAUUUAUUUUAUCACAUCCCUUUUAUCUCUUUUACUUUUAGUGGUAGAUAAUUAAAUGGAGAGAUAAUUAUUAAUAAGCAAGAAGUCAUGAACUCAGUCUAGAUAAAUUUUUCUCAUCAGAGCAUUUAAAUGAGAUAAAUGGUAGUUUAGUCAAAUUUAGGCUGAUUUGUUUUUGUUUAAGUGAUUUAAUUAGAUUACACUUUUAUAUUCACUAGAGUAAUUAUUGUUGGCUACAUAAUAGAUAUAGCUUUCUCCUUGUCUCAUUAAAUUGGUGAGAACUUAAUCGAGAUUCUUCAUAUUAAUGAAAAGACUAAUUAUCAAACUAUAUCUGAUUAGUGAAUUGAUGACUUUUUAAUUAUUAUGCAAAAAACUUAAAUGACGGAGAAAAUAAAAAUGAACAGACGAUUAGACAUGAUUUAACUACGAAUAAUUGUCUGUAAACUAGCAUUAUCUCUAAAUCCUGCAUCAUGAUUAUUACGUAAGGCAUCUGAUGUUUCUUGAUGGUUUAAUGCCUAAUUAUCAUGUUAUUCUCUGUGGUUUAAACGAUUCCUCCUAAUUAAAGGGAGAACCAAAUAUUCGUACAACUGCUUGGUAUGAAUUGGAUGAUGAAAAAAGCAAACCAUUUUGUGAAGGAAAUACAUGCAAAAGGAAUCUUAAGUCCUUUGAUGACAAAAGAAUAAGAAUCAGUCAAAGCAGAAAGGAACUGUUUCUUUGGUACUAUCUGGAGAUAAAGAUGCCUGUUAAGUAAAGAUAAAAACGAAUCCCUUGUUGCAUAUUUAAGUCUCUUUAUCUCAAUGAUAAAGAGAUGCUUAUUAAAUAUCUAGACUACUAUUUCAUGCUUCAUGUUUACUGCUACUCAGUAUAUCGUUCCAUAAUAACUGAAUUAUACUAAAACUUUUUUAUAUAUAAGAGGAUCUUAGGCCUCUGUUUCACUAAUUGCCGUAGUUCUUUUUUUUUUCGCUGUAAUUUUCUUUCUAGCAGUAAUAAUACUUUUGUGUCUGUGGGUGUUCAAACUAUCAAAUAUUGUUCUUUUGUAAUAUAUAUAACCAACCAUAAUAAAAAGUUUGUACGUGAAUUGCUUACAACCUACAAAUGUUCUGGAUAUUAUUAGAAUAAUAACACAGUAAUAAUAUAUAUAUAUCUCAAAAGAUUAUGGGUUUAAACCUCAUAUAUAAUAUGCCAACCAAAGAGAGAAAAUUGAUUGGACUUUGCCGCUGCAUGUUUCACAUAAUAUGAAGAUUUUUUUUAAAAAAAAAGUUACAAGAAAGAAUCAACAUAUAUCUCCUGAAGAUAACUCAGAGUAAUGUGGAUAAUAUAAGGUGUCAGUAUACAACAAUUAUCUUCUAUAUAAACCCUAAACUGCUUCUAAAUUCACAUUCAGAGCCCAGAAAUAUCUUAGUCAUACUAGAAAAUCAAGGGAAAGGAUGCCCAGCGGCCAAACCUUGAGUGAAGAGCGGAUAAGGGAAAUUUUCUUGCAAUUUGCUGCAGACAAGAACAAUGUUCUAAGCAGAAAAGAGCUAAAGAAUGCAUUCAAAUACCUGGGUGCAAUGUUUCCUACUUUUAGAGCAUUACUCGGGAUCUACCGUGCUGAUGCGAAUGGGAAUAGAAAAAUUGAUUCCGACGAAUUGGAUGAUCUCGUCAAGUAUGCUAAUUCACUUGGUUACACUGUUAAGGGUUAAGUAGAAAUUAAAUCACCAAACUAGGAUAUUAAUCUGAGUUCUAUGAUAAUUUCCCUUGUAUGGCGACCGUGUAAUGUGAUUUUCUUUUUUUCUUUUUGUUUUUUAGGGUAUAAUGAAGUGAGAUUGUGCAAUCCUUGUAAUUUUAUCGAUAUAUUAAUUAAAAUUAGAGAAUGUUUGAAUAAUAAGUAAUACAUUCUCCUUUCAUUAUUAUUUACAUAACACUUGCAUUUUUUUUUUUUUUAAGAACUAAAGGAGGAGAAUUCAAAGAUAAAUGUAUUGUCAAAUCAUAUAUAUGGUAAAUGGUGUAAAUUUCAAAGACAAAUUUAUGCAUUAAGUCAAUUAAAAAUGGAAAUUCAUAGAUUCAUAGAGGCUAGCCCAUUUAAGGAAAAUAAAAUCGGUUGGAAAAUGCUAAAAUUGGAACUAAUCGAUUUUAAGCUGUUUUUAGUUUCAAUUGUUGAAUGUCUUGAACUGCCGAUUCAGUUCAGUGAAUCAAAAUUGUCUUUUAGUUAAACAUUCAAACUAGCAAUAAAAAAUUUUAAAAAAAAUCAAUUAAUGUAAAGAAGAAAAUCAUCAACAUAAAUUAAUUAUAAGCUUUUGCUUCUUUCGAAAAAAAAACAUAAAAUAAUUAAUGAUUUUAAUUUUCAAAGAUGAAAAUAGAAAACAUAGUUGUUAGAAUCUCAAAUACCAAACCAAGAUAUGGUUAAUAAAUUGACAGUGAUUUCAACUGCGGUGUUAUGUUGGAUUUUACCUUACUCAUUUUAUCAUUGAAUUUUAAUAAUUGAACUCUUCCGAUUAUAUCCUUUUCAAAUGAGAAUUAAUCAAAUAAAAUUGAAUUGAAGUUUUGAAGUUUCAACCAAACUCAUGGAGUACUAAUUGUACUGUUUACUGAGGUGUUGAUUUUGAACAAUAUAUAUAUAUAUAUAUAUAUAUAUAUACAAGACAAGAAAGCAAAAGAAAGAAGAGAAGAUGCCAAAUCUGUAGACAUGCAAGUGCCAUAUGUAAGGUUCGGUGUGCGUGUAUAUUUGAUUAGAUGAAAUUCAAAAUAACAUGAAAUUCAAAAUCAAAUUAGUAGAUGAUUUUCAAUUAAACAAAUCGAAUCCUAACUAUAACUAGAGUAGAAUAUAAAGUAGCAAGCGCACGUGAAACUCAAAAGACACCAUAUAUUCCAGUCCAAAAGGUUCUUCCAUGACUAUACAGAUUUCAGAUUUUGGUUCUGGUCCGAUCCUUCACAUGCAAGACAAUACUUUUUGAAGAAGAUAAUUGGAAUAUAAUAAUGCAGGCCUAACUAUAUAAACCCCUCAUCGUCAUAAAACCAUAUUAUACCGAAAAGGAUCUUGUUUCUUAUACACCUGUUUUAGAAGAACACCAUUCCUCGUGUGAUCAUUAAUCAUCAUUAUCAUAAAACUAAAGGUGUUCCUAAAAUUUUAACUGAAAAUGAGCUGAAGAGGAUCUUCAUGCAAUUCGAUGUGAAUCGCGACAGUGUUCUUAGCAAAGAAGAGAUAAAGAAAGCAUUUGAGUAUCUUGUGUUGGAUAUCAGCUCAGUGAUAGACUCUAAGAUUGAUUAAUAAUUUAUAACACUAAAAAUAAUAACGGGAAAGACAACCAAAAUAAUACAAACACAAAACACCAAAUAAAAUUGUAUUAAUAAGAAGCAAACGUUCACAAAGUUUAAGGAAAUGAUUACUUACUUGGUUUUUGCUUGGUGCUUGCUUGGUUAUAAAUGAGAGGAGGGGUGGUAUUUAUCGACAUUUCUACCUCCUCAAUGUACGGCUAAGAUUUAUUUACAAAAAUGGACAGUCUAGAUUACAAAGAACUUUUUAGAGUUAGGUAAAAUAUUUUCAUUACAUCUCAUUUAUGGAGAAUUGUGGAGUAUUCUAGAAUGUGGGCUUAGACCUUCAACUUUGGGCUGGAGGCUUCCCAAGUCUUGGUCCAUUAUGGCAGCCCAAUUUAGGUUGUGACUUUUCUAAAUUAAUCGGUGAUAUUUUAAUACCCUCCCUCAACGAUUAAUUUCUCUUUCUUCAUCAUUCCCAACUGUUGGCGAAAAUCUUCAUAUUUGUUUGCGUUUAAACUCUUUGUAAAGAUAUCGGCUAAUUGAUCCUCCGUCUUGAUAUAUUUUAUUUUAAUCUCUCCUUGUAGAACCUUCUCUCUGAUAAAGUGAUAGUGAACCUCCACGUGUUUUGUUCUCACAUGAAACACCGGAUUCUCAGCCAUUUGUAUAGCCGAACGAUUAUCACAAUUUAACGGAAUUGGAUAGUCGAUGGGUUGAUGCAGAUCGUUCAUAAGCUGUGAUAACCAAACACUUUCUUGAGCUGAUGUUGCUGCUGCCUGAUACUCAGCUUCUGUUAUGGAAAGUGACACUGUAGGUUGUCUCUUGCUACACCAAGAGAUUACUCCUGAACCAAGACUAAAUGCAUAGCCUGUUGUCGAGCGCCGAGUGUCUUGAUCUCCUACAUAAUCAGCAUUGCAAUAUCCUUCCAACUUGAUAAUUUCACAUCUCUUGUAAAAGAUCCCAUAAUCGAUGUACUUUUGACAUAUCUCAAUAUUCUUCGAACUGCUUCCAAGUGAGGUUUCUUAGGCUUCUGCACAAAUCGGCUAACUACUCCAACUGUAAAGGAAAUGUCCGGCCGCGUCAUAGUGAAAUAGAUUAAGCUUCCCACUAGUUGUCUAUACAUAGUAGCAUCUUCGAGAUCAUUUCCUUCAUGAGCACACAACUUGACAUUGGCAUCCAUUGGAGUAGAUAUUGGCUUGCAUUCCAUCAUUCCAAACCUCUUCAGUAGAUCUCUUGCAUACUUCUGUUGUCCGAGGAACAAACCUUCCUUGGCUUCUUCUAUCUCCAAUCCAAGAAAAUGCUUGAGCUUUCCUAGCUCUUUCAUUUUGAAACGAGUAGCCAAAUUCUCUCGGAUGAGUUGAAUCUCUUCGAUGUUAUCCCUAGUGACUAUUAAAUCAUCAACGUAUACUAGCACUAUAGCUAGUCUUCCUUCCCGAUCUUUUACAAAUAAACUGGAGUCUGCUAGUGCCAUAACAUAUCCAUUCUUGACAAGGAAUUCUGCAAUCUUGCCAUACCAAGCCCUCGGUGCUUGUUUUAGACNNNNNNNNNNNNNNNNNNNNNNNNNNNNNNNNNNNNNNNNNNNNNNNNNNNNNNNNNNNNNNNNNNNNNNNNNNNNNNNNNNNNNNNNNNNNNNNNNNNNNNNNNNNNNNNNNNNNNNNNNNNNNNNNNNNNNNNNNNNNNNNNNNNNNNNNNNNNNNNNNNNNNNNNNNNNNNNNNNNNNNNNNNNNNNNNNNNNNNNNNNNNNNNNNNNNNNNNNNNNNNNNNNNNNNNNNNNNNNNNNNNNNNNNNNNNNNNNNNNNNNNNNNNNNNNNNNNNNNNNNNNNNNNNNNNNNNNNNNNNNNNNNNNNNNNNNNNNNNNNNNNNNNNNNNNNNNNNNNNNNNNNNNNNNNNNNNNNNNNNNNNNNNNNNNNNNNNNNNNNNNNNNNNNNNNNNNNNNNNNNNNNNNNNNNNNNNNNNNNNNNNNNNNNNNNNNNNNNNNNNNNNNNNNNNNNNNNNNNNNNNNNNNNNNNNNNNNNNNNNNNNNNNNNNNNNNNNNNNNNNNNNNNNNNNNNNNNNNNNNNNNNNNNNNNNNNNNNNNNNNNNNNNNNNNNNNNNNNNNNNNNNNNNNNNNNNNNNNNNNNNNNNNNNNNNNNNNNNNNNNNNNNNNNNNNNNNNNNNNNNNNNNNNNNNNNNNNNNNNNNNNNNNNNNNNNNNNNNNNNNCGAGAUACUUUGUUAGGAGAAGUUCCUCUCUUUAUAUAGAGUUCUUGAAGGCUAGUUUGACUCCUUUUAGGAAAUAGAAUCCUUAUUUAGUGCAAAAUCCUUUAUAGGAGAUCAUGACUGUUUAGGUUCUUGAUUUCUNNNNNNNNNNNNNNNNNNNNNNNNAGAAUAGGUCCAGGUCUUGUUUAGUGUGUUUAGGAAACUCCCUGAAGUCGGCCCAUGUGAGAAAAAGCUUGAUUUGCGCAUUAAAUUCUCGCUGGUUCCGCCUGUGCAGCACGGGCGUGUUUCCUGGCACGGGCUGGGUGUGCUUUAGUCUGGAAGUCUGGCCAGUGAAGCACGGGGCGUGCUAGGUAGCACGGGCUAGUGAAGCACUGAGGCACGGGCGUGUCACUUAGCACGGGAAGGGCGUGCUUCUCUCUGGAUGUUUGCCUAGAAUUGUCAUGGGCAUGCUAUGCUUGACACGCCCUGGUCCCAUUGUAGCACGGCCGUGCCUUUUGGCACACCCUGGCCGUGCUCUCUUCUGUCUCUCCUUUGGUUUCCUUGGCUUCUAGCACGGUUGUGCUUUUUAGCACGGCCUGGGCGUGCUAGAGGCCAAGUGCCUUGUAUUAUAAAGUUCUUUUCUGCGCCAAAUUUUUGCAAUUUUCUCUUAGAUCAAGCGGAUUAAAGAUUAAGGAAGCUUUUGAACAUAAUUAUACUAAAAGUGAUUUAAAAUCAAAUUAAAGCAAUCAAAACUUACUAAAAUUCAAAUAAAAACUAUAUUAAAACACUAUAGAAUUAACACCUAUCACAAACCUUCCUUGUUUUCUUCUAUCUCCAAUCCAAGGAAAUGCCUGAGCUUUUCUAGCUCUUUUAUCUUGAAACGAGUAGCCAAAUUCUCUCGGAUGAGUUGAAUCUCUUCGAUGUUGUCGCCAGUGAUUAUUAAAUCAUCAAUAUAUACUAGCACUAUAGCUAGUCUUCCUUCCCGAUCUUUCACAAAUAAACUGGAGUCUGCUAGUGUCAUAUCAUAUCCAUUCUUGACAAGGAACUCUGCAAUCUUGCCAUACCAAGCCCUCGGUGCUUGUUUUAGACCAUAGAGAGCUUUCCUUAGCUUGCACACAUAGUUAGGAUUUUUACGACUUCUGAACCCUGAUGGUUGCUCCAUGUAGAUUUCACGAUCAACUUCACCAUGUAAGAAUGCAUUCUUCACAUCCAUCUGCCACAAAGGCCAUGACUUACUAGCUGCUAAAGCUAGUAAUACACGCACUGUAGUGAUCUUGGCAACUGGACUAAAUGUCUCAUCAUAGUCCAAGCCAUACUGUUGAGAAAAUCCAUGAGCACCCAGUCUUGCUUUGUAUCGCUCAAUUGAUCCAUCCGGGCGAGUUUUGAUUUUGUAGACCCAUUUGCAAGAGAUAGGUUUCACAUCUUUUGGUUUUAAUAAUUCCCAUGUUUGAUUUUCCUCCAAAGCAGCAAUUUCUUCUUCCAUCGCAGUAGUCCACUCCAUCUUCUUUGAUGCUUCUUCAUAAGUUGUUGGCUCCUUUAUCUCUGCUAUAGCAACAUUUGCAUAUUUUGGAUUAGGCCUUCUUUCUCGACCCGAUCGCCGAAGUAGAGGAUAAUCUGGAUCUUAUUCUUCUUGACUUGGCUGCUCUUAUUCGUAUGCACCUAUCUUCCAUGGGUUCUUCGAUUUCUCUUGAACUCUGGAUGGCUCUGCUUGACCUUUCUCUGGGAUNNNNNNNNNNNNNNNNNNNNNNNNNNNNNNNNNNNNNNNNNNNNNNNNNNNNNNNNNNNNNNNNNNNNNNNNNNNNNNNNNNNNNNNNNNNNNNNNNNNNNNNNNNNNNNNNNNNNNNNNNNNNNNNNNNNNNNNNNNNNNNNNNNNNNNNNNNNNNNNNNNNNNNNNNNNNNNNNNNNNNNNNNNNNNNNNNNNNNNNNNNNNNNNNNNNNNNNNNNNNNNNNNNNNNNNNNNNNNNNNNNNNNNNNNNNNNNNNNNNNNNNNNNNNNNNNNNNNNNNNNNNNNNNNNNNNNNNNNNNUGAAUAUGCAGCGAAGUGUCUUUUUGUCAAACUUGCUUCGAAGUUCAUCCGGAACGAAGACAUAACACACGCAUCCAAAAACGCGAAAAUGACUUACAGUUGGUUUAAUGUUCCACACUCCAGUCUUGCUUGAGGUAGUCUGUUGGUGACGUACACAACUGUCUUCAUGCACUCUGCCCAAAAUCUAGCUGGCACAUUCUUCGCAUGGAGCAAACUCCUGCAAAUCUCCACUAGGUGUCGAUUCUUUCUUUCAGUAACUCCAUUCUGCUGUAGUGUUCUUGGACAUGUGAAUUGCCUUCGAAUGCCUUGCUCUUGGCAAUAUUUAGUGAAUUCGUCAGACGUGUAUUCUCCGCCAUUGUCGGUGCGAAGACAUCUAAUUUUAUUCUCAACUUCUUUUUCAACUUUCUUCUUGAAAGCUUUGAAUUUUUCAAAAGCUUUCGACUUCUCUACCAUGAAUCUUACCCAAACAUAUCUCGAGUAGUUGUCGAUGAAAGUAAUCAUGUACCUCAUAUUACUAUUUGUAGGCUGCUUGAUCCGUCCAAGAACAUCUGAAUGUAUGAACUCCAAUGGCACCUUGGCUCUAUGUUUGGACUCUUCAAAGGGAAGUUGGUGAGCCUUUCCAUAUUGGCAUCCAGCACAUAUAGUAUCUUCUCGGCAUUCGAACUGAGGAAGACCUUUAAGCAUGGACUGAUUCAUCAUCACCUUAAGCUUGUGAUAACUAACAUGUCCCAGACGAGCGUGCCACAAGUCAGCUGUCUCGUUCUUCCUUGUUCUGUCAAUAUAGGCUUCUUGUGCUGACAUGACGUAGAUUGAUUCUACUNNNNNNNNNNNNNNNNNNNNNNNNNNNNNNNNNNNNNNNNNNNNNNNNNNNNNNNNNNNNNNNNNNNNNNNNNNNNNNNNNNNNNNNNNNNNNNNNNNNNNNNNNNNNNNNNNNNNNNNNNNNNNNNNNNNNNNNNNNNNNNNNNNNNNNNNNNNNNNNNNNNNNNNNNNNNNNNNNNNNNNNNNNNNNNNNNNNNNNNNNNNNNNNNNNNNNNNNNNNNNNNNNNNNNNNNNNNNNNNNNNNNNNNNNNNNNNNNNNNNNNNNNNNNNNNNNNNNNNNNNNNNNNNNNNNNNNNNNNNNNNNNNNNNNNNNNNNNNNNNNNNNNNNNNNNNNNNNNNNNNNNNNNNNNNNNNNNNNNNNNNNNNNNNNNNNNNNNNNNNNNNNNNNNNNNNNNNNNNNNNNNNNNNNNNNNNNNNNNNNNNNNNNNNNNNNNNNNNNNNNNNNNNNNNNNNNNNNNNNNNNNNNNNNNNNNNNNNNNUGUUUCCUUCUACUUAUCUGCUUUGACAUUCUCGGGCGAAAUGUCCUCUUUUGUUGCACUUGUAGCAACGAUCACUUUCUUGCCAGUCGUCUUUCCUUUGUCCUGGCCUUGCUCUCCCUUGCUGUGAUGGUCUCCACUUUUGCUUUCUCCAUCCUUGUUGAUUGCUCCUUUCUUAUCCACCAUCUACUCUCAUAACGUUUCGAAAUUCCCUCUUUUUAGAAAGAGAGCUUUCUCAUCAUCCUUCAAAGCUACUUUAGACAUUUUUUCGUCCAAAGUCUCUUCAUUGGAUAAGAUAUUUUCUAACUCGUCUAAGGUUGGUUGUGUAGCCCUACCACGAGUAGCAGUCACAAGACCCUUAAAUUCAGGUCUUAGACCAUGGAUAAUGAUCCUCUUCAUCCUUGUCUCGUUGAUCUCGUUGUCUGGAUCUAAUUUCAAAAUCUCCUCACAUAAAGAUUUUACUUUAGAAAAGUAUUGACUUAUAGUGAGGUGCUGUUGCGAGAUUAAGAACAACUCAUUUUCGAGCCGUUGCAAUUUUGCUUCGUUCUUCUAAGCGAAAGUAGACUUGAGAAUGUCUCAUGCUUCCUUUGGUGUUUUAGCUGACUUGAUCCGUUGCAUCUGCUCAUCUUCUACUGCAACUGUUAGCACAUACAUCUCCUUCCCGCAUUUUGUCUCCCACUCUUUCAGAGCUUUCGCAUCCCCAACUGGUGGUGUAGUAUUAUCUCCUCCGACGAUAUCCCAUAAGUCUUGACCUAUGAGAUAAUAUCUCAUACGGGUACUCCAGUUCCCGUAAUUGUUGCUAUUUAGCUUCUCGAUACUAUUAGCAACUCCAGAAAAAUCCGCCAUAAGGUACUGGUGUUCCUGACAUUAACCAAUGCACAACGGUUCUUGACCAAUCAAGAUCACAAUCCUUGCUUGUGAAUCUUGCUUCAACAAUAGUCCCUAACUAUUAAUUCCAGCAGAGUAAUGAUACUCUACACUUGUAAAUGAACACCACAAAGUAUCACGGCUACAACAACUACCACCACAACCAAGUUCUGAUACCACUUGUUGGGAUUAAGGCUCUGAUACCACUUGUUGGAUAUCAGCUCAGUGAUAAACUCCAAGAUUGAUUAAUAAUUUAUAACACCAAAAAUAAUAAAGGGAAAGGCAGCCAAAAUAAUACUAACAUAAAACACCAAAUAAAAUUGUACUAAUAAAAAGCAAACAUUCACAAAGCUUAAGGAAAUGAUUACUUACUUGAUUUUUGCUUGGUGCUUGCUUGGUUACAAAUGAGAGGAGGGGUGGUAUUUAUAGGCAUUUCCACCUUCUCAAUGUACGGCUAAGAUUUGUUUACAAAAAUGGACGGUCUAGAUUACAAGGAACAUUCUAGAGUUAGGUAAGAUAUUUUCAUUACAUCUCAUUUAUGGAGAAUUGUGAAGUAUUCUGGAAUGUGGGCUUGAACCUCCAACUUUGGGCUGCAGGCUUCCCAAGUCUCGGUCCAUUAUGGCAGCCCAAUUUAGAUUGUGACUUUUCUAAAUUAAUCGGUGAUAUUUUAAUAUCUUGAUGCUUUCUUUCCGGGCUUCAGAGCCAACCGAGGAAUUAGGUAUGCUGAUGCCAAUGGAGAUGGACAAGUUGACUUGACUGAGCUGGAUGAUCUGGUAAAUUAUGCUGUUAGACUUGGCUACUCUACUUACUAGAAACAGCUUGAGAGAUGGAAAUUAAACAAGCAAGCUCCCUCUUAAAAUAAAAGUAUUUUAGUUUCUGGUGGCUGCCCUGCCAUGCACUUAUGAAUUAAAUGUGUUUGCUUCUUUAAUUUCUAUUAGAUAUAUGUAAGNNNNNNNNNNNNNNNNNNNNNNNNNNNNNNNNNNNNNNNNNNNNNNNNNNNNNNNNNNNNNNNNNNNNNNNNNNNNNNNNNNNNNNNNNNNNNNNNNNNNNNNNNNNNNNNNNNNNNNNNNNNNNNNNNNNNNNNNNNNNNNNNNNNNNNNNNNNNNNNNNNNNNNNNNNNNNNNNNNNNNNNNNNNNNNNNNNNNNNNNNNNNNNNNNNNNNNNNNNNNNNNNNNNNNNNNNNNNNNNNNNNNNNNNNNNNNNNNNNNNNNNNNNNNNNNNNNNNNNNNNNNNNNNNNNNNNNNNNNNNNNNNNNNNNNNNNNNNNNNNNNNNNNNNNNNNNNNNNNNNNNNNNNNNNNNNNNNNNNNNNNNNNNNNNNNNNNNNNNNNNNNNNNNNNNNNNNNNNNNNNNNNNNNNNNNNNNNNNNNNNNNNNNNNNNNNNNNNNNNNNNNNNNNNNNNNNNNNNNNNNNNNNNNNNNNNNNNNNNNNNNNNNNNNNNNNNNNNNNNNNNNNNNNNNNNNNNNNNNNNNNNNNNNNNNNNNNNNNNNNNNNNNNNNNNNNUGCCUUGGUUUUACAGGCAGGUACAAGAUGCUUUACCUUUGCGUUAUUAAGACAUGCUACUUAUUUUCUUAAGCAAGUCUUUUUGUCGAUUCCAUGAACGUAGGUUCCACUUGUGGGUCCUACAAAUUGGAGAAAUUAUAUAAGGUUUUAGUGCACAGCUACAUUUACCAUUUUCAAAUUCUUUCAAUAGGGUAAAUUAUACUUUCCUAGAUAAUCGAGAGAGAAAAAUAAAAGUGCAAAAAGAAUGGAAGAACUACAGCUAGAGGUACCAUUCAUAGUAGCAAUAAAAGAUCAUCCAGGAACUAUAGGCAGCAGGAAAAUAUCACAUGAAUUAGCAGAGUUCCUACGAUGUCCUCUUAUUAAUGAAAAUGAUAUCACCCAAACCCUCGAAAAAAUAUCCAUUCCAACCCCCUCAAGUUCAACCAUAACUCAAACUUCUAAUGAGCUUUCAGACAAUUUACCUUUUGAGAUUAUUUCUCAAAUUGCCUUAACCCAACUCAGCUUGAAGUUCAAUGUUAUCAUCAACAUGUUGCUGUUCAAUGAUGUCCGUCUCAAUAAAUUGAUAGAACUGGAGCAUUCUGGGAAGGCGCGCUUGAUCAUUAUUCAAGGCGAAAGCAAUAAUCAUCAAGAUUAUUAUGACAGUGGUCAUAUCUUGAAGGUAAGCAUCGAAAAAGAGUCAUUUAAUGUGAAUGAAGUUGUCACCAAAAUGUAUAAUUUACUAGAUGGUAUGAGAGACAAUGCAAAGAGCCACAACAAACUUACCAGACAACCUAUAAAUGACCAUUUGCAUGAAUUAGUUUUAUCUAAAGAGCCAAGAACGAACAAAAUCCUAUGCAGAAGUUGCUCAAAACUUGUUUCUGGUCUCUCUUAUGAAUGUGCAGAGUGCAAUGAGUUCACCUUUCAUAAAUCAUGUGCAGAGUCAUCCCCAGAUGUAAAGAAUUGUCCUCGUUGGUUAAGGGAAAUGAAGCCAAAGCAAUAUGACUUCCAAAAGACAUAUAAAUGUAAUAACUGUGAAGAAUUUUCAGAAGAUUGUUAUGAUUGUCUCUUCCAAACCAACGUUAAACAUGGAUUUUUGCCGACUAUUCUUCAUCAUCAAAGACAUCAACACUUUCUUAAUUUCAUAAUCAUGCCCUUCCAGUAUAAUUAUCAAUAUAAAUGCUGUAUAUGUGAUAAACUGGGCAGCUCAGUUAGCUACAAAUGUUAUGACUGCAACUAUGACGUUCAUGUCAAGUGCAUAUUACCAAGCACCAUUAGGAUGCGUGGGAAUGAUUAUUCCCUUGUCUCUGCGUCGUCGUAUCAUCAAGAUGAGUUGGAAAAGUAUAAUUGUGAUAUCUGCCGUGAAAGAAUAGAAUCGAGCCAACUAUUAUAUUGGUGUGAAGAACAAGAUUUUAUUCAUGCGGGUAAAAUUAAAUAUUUUACUGAUCAAAACAAAAAUUCACCCAUUCAUGUGAAGUGCAUGCCUAGUGUUACUGCACAGCCGUUGGAGGAAACAGCAGCUGCAUAUUUUGACCAUAUGCAGCCGUAUUCUUUCAUAAUUAGGAAGCCUGAGAAUGGUGAUUUCCUCAUCUCUGCGCCGUCGUAUCCCCGAUAUGAGUUGGAAAAGCAUAAAUGUGAUCAAAACAAAAAUUUACCCAAUCAUGUGAAGUGCAUGCCUAGUGUUAAAGAAGAGAGUAUUGAUGGGAAAGCUGCUGAAUUCAUCGAGAUGAAGCAGAGGAAAUUUGAUUUAAGGAAAUGGAAAACCUUUAAGUUGCAUAAUUAAUUAUUAUCAGGGUUUGGUAUAUGUCAGUUAACCAGAGAUUGCUACUAAUUAUUAACACAGCUAUUUACUUAUUUGUGGGUUUUGGGUCUGGCUUGUAUUCCUGCAGCAGAUUAAAAUCAUUCAUUUUUAUAUUAUUUGUCAUUUAAAAGUGAAAUGAUUUAAUAACAUUGUAUUUUUCUUUUUCUUUUUUCUUUUUUUUUUUUUGUUCUAUUCAUAUAGUAGCUAAGCUUAAUUAACUACUCACUACAAGAAUUGUAAUUUGAUUGCAGAGAAACUUCCAAUUUGUAAUUAUAAUGUUCUUAUGGAACGUUUAGGUCAUACAUGGACUUGCAAGUUGUAAUUUAUCACACAAUUAGCAAGCUAAAUAGACUUAUUUAUUUAUCAUUCCUAGAUCUUUAAAAAACAGUAGAAAGAAAAAAUAUGUGCAAAAAAUAAAAACAGCAGGUAAACUAAACAAAUUACUAUUAGAGGGUGAAAAUUGCAAUUGAAUAAAGUUAACAAAUCAAAAUUAUAAAUAUUGAUUAGAGAAAAAGACUUUUUUUUUUUUGGCAAUUCUACAAAAUACAUAAUACAAAAGAUAUGUAAAGUUGAGAAUACAAUCAGAAAAGAGAGGAACCCUUCCAAUCCAGAAAAGUGGAACAGAAAAUGCAAGGGGUUGAAUCAAAUAUAUUCUAGGAGAUAAGUAGGAAAAAUAAUGUAUAAGCAACUGUAGGGACAUAACAAAGAGUUCUACGUACGUAAACUCUAUAUAAACCCACAUUUCCUGAAUUGAAAUAUCAGAAAGCAAGGGAGCCAUUGUUGCUAUUAGCCAAGAACUAGUAGCAAGUUAUUUGGGUUCUGAGAGUAUGCCUCGUCAACCUUAUAUUGCUUAUAAAGGAAACGUUCCUCAGCCUAUUUUAAGUGAAGAGCUUAUAAAGGAAAUUAUUAAGAGAUGUGACAUCAAUCAUGAUAAUAUUAUCAGCGAGGAAGAGCUAAUCAAAGCUUUUGAUGAACUUGGUUCGAGGUUCCCUUGGUUUAGAGCCCAGAAGGCCAUGGCUUGUGCUGAUUCCAAUAAAAAUGGACAAAUCGACUCCGAUGAGUUGGAUCAAGUCGUCAAAUACGCUAGCAAGCAAGGAUACCAAUUCAAGAAGUCACAAAAAGCUUAUUUGAAUUGAUGUAAUUAGUAAUAUCCAUGUAAGGUGUUGCUUAAUAAUAAUUAGCAAGUUUUUAACUUGCUGUUAAUUAAUAUUGGAGUUACUUUUGGGUGUAAGGUUAUAAGUUUAAAUUUUCCCGAAAUCUAAUUUUUUUUUAAAAAAAAAAAUUUUAGCUUUUCUUUUUCUCCUUUGAUAACACUGAGAAAAAACAUCCAUUCAUUGUGUAUGUAUAAGACAGAAUCUAUUCGGUUUUUUUUUUAAAAGAUGGUAUAAAGUUGGGAAUAAUAUAAAGGGUGCAAGGACCAAUAAAGAGAGGCCUAUAUAAGCACAAGCUUCCACUCCAACAAACUCAUAUUGCAAUAGCUUUAAGCUUCGUUUAUGGCUACCCAUUUGGUUCAAGAUAAUAAAUGUAUGAAUAGUAAAGCCGUGCCUCUAACCGAAAAACAGAUACGAGAAAUUAUCAGCAGCUGCGAUUCCAAUCAUGACAAUCUUCUCGACAUGGAUGAUCUAGAGAAAGCGUUUCGUCAACUGGGUUCAAAGCUCCCUGGUUUUAGAGCCACCCGUGUUAUGAGGUACGCCGAUGCCAACAGAGAUGGACCAUCGACUUGAAUGAACUUAACGAUGUCGUUAAAUAUGCUAGACGACAAGGGUGCUCCUUUAAGUGAAAGGUUUUUCCAGUUCAAUACGAUGUCGUUAAAGCUCUGGAAAAUAAAAUAAAUGUGUCGUUAGAGCUUUAUUUGCUGUCGUAUAUGUAUCCAAUAAAGAGGGGAUAGAUAAAGAUAACCCUCUGCUUCGUGACAUUUAUUAAUUCUAUUAACCAGUACUUAAGUCAUUUACUUUUUUUCAAGAGAAGCGGAGGUUAAUGAAACAUAAUCUGGAAAAACAAUCAUUAAUGAGACUUUUUUUUUUGGUUAAUUGUGUGACUAUUGUUUAAACCUAUGUCUUCUUAAUUUAAAAAUCAUAUGUCACUGUUUAGAAGUUGUUUUGUCUAAAAUUAUCAGAAAUUUUAAUAAAAUUAAUUUUUUUUAAUUUUACUCUUAUUUCUAUUAACUACAAUAAUUAUGUUCUAUAAUUUUCUAAAAUUUAUUUUAUCUCAUCCCUUUUAUCUCUUUUACUUUUAGUGGUAGAUAAUUAAAUGGAGAGAUAAUUAUUGAAUAAGCGAUGGGUCAUGAACUCAGUCUAGAUAAGUUUUUUUCAUCAGAGCAUUUAGAUGAGAUAAAUGGUAGUUUAGUCAAAUUUAGGCUAAUUUGUUUUUGUUUAAGUGAUUUAAUUAGAUUACACUUUUAUAUUCACUAGAGGAAUAAUAUUGUGGGCUACAUAACAGAUAUAACUACAUUUGAUUAGUGAAUUGAUGAAUUUUUUAAUUAUUGUGCAAAAAACUUAAAUGACGGAGAAAAUAAAAAUGAACAGACGAUUAGACAUGAUUUAACUACGAAUAAUUGUCUGUAAACUAGCAUUAUCUCUAAAUCCUGCAUCAUGAUUAUUACGUAAGGCAUCUGAUGUUUCUUGAUGGUUUAAUGCCUAAUUAUCAUGUUAUUCUCUGUGGUUUAAACGAUUCCUCCUAAUUAAAGGGAGAAC